GGACAAACCAGAAGAUGCCUCUAUAAUGGUAAGACUUCUAUACCUAUGCCAGUUUUCCCAGAUACAUUUAUUGUGUUUGUCUGCUGUACUUUGCUGAUGCUGAUAAUAAUAUUAGUAUAGUUAGUAUGAUCAGGACAUUAAGUAUAAAUAUGUGAAUGGAUUGCAUCCCUUCCUACUGAAUAUUACUGUGCAUAUUUAAACUCUCCGUGUUUACCAUUGCAGUACAGCAAGCUUUUUAGUGCAUAUUUCUGUUUUAUGUUCACAGCAGGGUGUUUGCAUUUGAAUUGCUUUUAAAACAUUUCCUUCAGACACUCACCAGUUCUGUAUUUUAACCUUUAGUAAUAUAUGCAGAAUUCAUUUUCAUAUGCAGUCACUGUGCUCUUUUGUUCCGUAUUUUCCAUUUCUAUUGAGCAAGAUGAAAGGGAAAAAAAAUAUUCUGCAAAAUGUCCACUCGUUAUUUUAUGAUUAUUUGUUGUUCCUAUUAUCCAUAAAAUUUUUUUUUUUUUAAAUAAAUAAAUAAACCUGUGUAAAUUACUUUUUUUGUUGAAUACUUUACUUGGAGGGAGCACACAGGAGAGUUUACUAGUAUAUCCAUAGUUCCAUAUGGUUCUUUGUAUACCCAGUUUAAUAUUCCUGGGCUAACAAACUCAAAAUCCUUGCAUUCAUUUUUCCAGAGAGAAGGGCACCAUGCCACGCUAGAGUGCUUUUUCUAAUCCAGUCACAUUUUUGAGUGGUACACUGUGCCUUUCAAUACCCAUUGUUUCUGCUACAUUUUAACAUCAGAGUUUUGAUCUUAAAGAUUGUCUGACUUUUGACAUAACCUCUUGUCUUUUGUUCCCUGUCUGAAAUGGUCUGAUGUCUUCAGAAAAUGUGUUUUGUGUUUUUGUUUUUUUGUUUGUUUUUUUGUGAACUAAUAACUUUGGAUGUGGUCAUAUCUAAUGCAAUUGUGACUUAGGUCUUAUGGUUCCUGAUAGAGAGUAAUGUUGCUAUUCACGUGUUUAUGCUGCACACAUUUUCCCUUGAUUGAACUGCAUUUGUUGUAUGUUAUCUGGUGUUUAAUUUCCUGUUCGUCUUAACCAAAAUACUUAGUAUUAUGUCAUGUUUUGUUCCAACUGCCUGUUCCAAGAACAUCACCAUUAGUGAUGUCAUGAACCAUUCGCGAACUUCCCGUGAACGGCUCGCCGCGGUUCUCCAUGAACCGUUCGCGGCGAACUCCGGUCAGCUGACACAUCCCGGCCAAUCUCCAGCAGACCCUCCCUCCCAGACCCUACCACCUCCUGGACAGCAUCCAUGUUGAAGGCAGAACGGUUCGCGACAUCACUAAUCACCUUAUAUAAUUGCAGUGUGAUAAAGAAUCCUAUAUGCAUAUGUUGGAUAGCCACCAUGGCUAUGGACAUCAAAGUACCACAACAUUGACUUUUCCAUUAUUUUGAAUUGCCAUCUCAAGGUUAUGUUUUGCUUGUUCUUAAAAACCUUGCCUAUCAAAUAAUUUUUUUUAUGGUUAUGGUAUCUGCCAAUGUCUCUGAUUGUGCUCCUGCACCCAAGUACUUUCAAAGAUGUGGGUAUUUUGAAUCAUAUAGUAUGUUAGAAUAUUUUCUUUGUAUCCUUUCACUUUUGAUCACUUUACUGCAAAUAUUCUGCCUCGUCAUUCCUUCUGCCUUGUUAGCCUAUAAUAAGGUUAUUGUGCAAUGUAUAUCAGUCUUCUCUGAAUUCCUACUAUACAUUCAACACACUACAUAGUAUACAUCUUUUCAUCUGAUACAGCAGCAGUAUGUAGUAUAUGCGCGCCUGAAUUGUAUACAAAACGAACAACUGUUUCUACAGAAAAACAGAUAUAUCUUUAAUAGAAAAAAAACCAAAAUAUAAAAUAACGAGAUUCUACUGUACUCCUUACUCCUCUCCAAAGCACUCAGUCUCUGUAUAGAGACACUUCUCAUAUACAAGUGAAUCCUAAUAAUUCUAAAUAGGCAGAUGUUGAAUACCCCAAUCCCAGUGUACUGUGGCAACAGAUUGUGCUAAAUAAUCAAAAUACGAGGCUUAAUCUUGGGGACAAACAGGAAAAUUGUGAUAUUUAGAUAUACCAAAAUACGAGUAGUAAAGUCUCAAUAGAUGUCACCUUAAAGAGAAAAACCCUCAUGCACUGCUCCUCCCCCUUGUUCUUUUGCAGCCCCCAUCUCUUUUAUAACUAGUACAGUCACUAGCUUUUAGUUACAAUGAAAAGCUGCUGACUGCUUUAGAAGGUAUGGCCCUGUCUGUGGCAUGGCAGGUGGGGGCAAUAUAGGGAGGUUUAAAACCUCUCUUGUAGUAAUAUUGGGAUCCUAUUGACAUCAACUUAUUAUGACACCUAUUUAGUGUAUUCCUCCAUUUUUUUAUAUGCAUAUGAUCUGUCGACCUCCCAUUAUUUAAUUUUGAGCCCAGAUCUGAUGCACUUGGAUGGUGGAUGACAGGCCCUGUUACUUUGCAGGCCUCAUCCACAUGGGGCAUUUCUGAAAACUGGGCAGCAAUGGCUGCUCAGUCACUAGUUUUUAGUUUGCUAAUGUGACCCACAACCACAGCAUGGUAGGUGUGAUCAUAGGGAGGUUUAAAACCUUCCUUAUAGUUAUAUGGGGAUCAUGUUGGCUGGAUAGGCUUAUAUAUUUUUGUUUUUAAUGUGAUAAGCAAGUUGGCAAGUUGGUAAUGUGGCAAGUGGGCCAGCCACUGCAUAGUUAAUCCUCCCGCUACAACCCAAUACUUUUUCUCAUCUCUUCUGUUCUAAGAUCAAUUAUUACUUAACAUCAUUAACUGCAUUUAAAGAAGGCACUAUGUAUCCACCCUUUCCUUUAAAGGAUGAUUAAUAAGUUGUGACUUAACACAAAUACAUUUUUGCAACAGAAUUGUAUAAUACAUUGAAUGAAUAAUUGCCAUUUUUUUCUUGAUUUAAAUGUGAAAAAUGGCCUUAGAUAACUGGUAAAGUAUUUAAAUUCUAUGUUCAAUAAAGCCACAUGCAACUCAGUGUGCUUUAUACUUUUUGAUCAAGGGUAGACUGACAACUCACAGUGCCUCGAGGCAUAGGUAAUCAAGGCCCUCACUUGUGCUCCACUCACAUACAAGCACUGCAAUGCAGUGCAAUCAGCUUAUGAUCUUAUUUAAAGAGCUAAGCCCAGCAUGUCAGGGAGAGCUAACAGACAUUCCUGCUUAGGAACUUCUGGCUCUCCCGGAUUCAUAGUGGAGGUGGAAAAUGGUGCUUGGUGGACCUCAGGCAAAAAGUCAAACAGCCUAAAAUAGUAGUUAUGGUGCUUAUUGUGUUCUUUUACAUGUACUAUACUGUGUUAUGUUUAUCUCCAUUCACACCUCCCAAUUUGUGCCUCUCCCUCCAUGUCACACCACACUGAUGAAUCUACCUUACCUUAUUUUCUCUCCCUUCCUCACUUAUGUCUCUCAUUCUACCAACACUUGUCCCUAAUUCCACCCCUAUGCUCCUCACAUGUCAUUCAUUCCACUGCCUUUGGAGGCUGGCAAGUCUUCAUAUCUUUUCCUUCCCCAUUUUUCAUGUUUUGUGGAUCUUUUCUUCAUUCAUUGUUUUUAAAAACUUUAAACAAUCAAUAUUUUGGAUCUCCUGCACAGUGUCAAAAAAUGUGCAUCAUGGCUGAUAUAUGUUCUUAGAAUAUUCUUUGUUUGUGUUUCCUUUAAUCUAUGUUCCUUUUCAUUUUUCAUGACUAUUAAGCUCAUUUUGAGAGCACAAUUAUGAGCACGUUUUGGUCACUGGGUAGAGAUAGAGCCAAAUCAAUGACAUAUAAGCCUUUUUUAUCGCAGGUUCACAUUGUAUAGAUUGUGAGUCAUGUUUGUGUGAAUUUUUGGUUCCCUUUAAUUCUACCAGAAGGGAUAGCUCGCUAACUAUUAAAUUAAUGAGUGCACAAUAUGUGUAUUUAGUUCCCUAGAACUUGAUGUAAAUUAUAAUGCAAAAAAAGGUAUAAUGAAAUUAUAGGCAAUGCACAAUUUGGCACUUGGAAUAACAAUAAUAAGAUAUAAUAUAUUUACAUAAUAAUGCACAGUUUGAUCAUUUCUGUUUCUACAUAUUUUCAUAUGUCCUCUUUGAUUUAUAAGUAAAAUGUAUCCAGUCUGCCUUUUUGGAUGCUGAAAACUGAAGACACCUGAAUAUAAGUGCAAAACUUUGCACUUCUCCACAAUCUUUACCUGACCAGUAUUUCCCUUCCUUUAAUUCCAUAGUGGAUGCUUUACUGCUCAAAGCCUUCAUUAUUCUUGAACCAAUUAUGAUUCCUAAUUCUUGCUUUGUUUAUUUAACACUUGAUUUUUUUUGUACUCUUAUUGUCCAUAAUUAACUAACACAAAACCCACUCCUUAGGAGAUGAUGCAUUUUUCCUGGUGUUCUUUCAUGGUAUUUGCUCUUACAUAGAAACAUAGAAUGUGACGGCAGAUAGGAACCAUUCAGCCCAUCUAGUCUGCCCAAUUUUCUAAAUACUUUCAUUAGUCCCUAGCCUUAUCUUAUAGUUAGGAUAGCCUUAUGCCAAUCCCACGCAUGCUUAAACUCCUUUACUGUGUUAACCUCUACCACUUCAGCUGGAAGGCUAUUCCAUGCAUCCACUACCCUCUCAGUAAAGUAAUACUUCCUGAUAUUAUUUUUAAACCUUUGGCCCUCUAAUUUAAGACUAUGUCCUCUUGUUAUGGUAGUUUUUCUUCUUUUAAAUAUAGUCCCCUCCUUUAUUGUGUUGAUUCGCUUUAUAUCCCCCCUGUCUUGUCUUUCCUCCAAGCUAUACAUGUUAAGAUCCUUUAACCUUUCCUGGUAAGCCAUGGUAAUUCAGUAAGCUGAAAAUUGUCAGAAAUUGAUCAGGGAAUAUAUGUAGUGAAAGAAAAUCUAUAGGUCAGCUUUUUAUCCACCUGUCUCGAUUUCAUAUUUUUUGAUAAGCUUUUCAAAUGAUUUAAUAUUUUUGGAUACACCUUUAAAAUAAUUUUCAAGCUAUUAAAAUAUCAAAAAAUAUAUCAUGCAUUAAAAAAUAUAUAUAUAUAUAUAUAUAUAUAUAAAUAUAUACAAAUAUAUUAAAAUAUUCUUCAAAAUUUUAAAUAAUUUUAAAGGUUUGUCCAAAAAUAUCACAGUAUUUUAAACCUGUAUCCAAAAAUAAAAGCUUUUUUAAGGCCUAUAAUUUGAAAUUCACUUGUUCAUUCACAACAAUUCCCAUUUUAGUUGAUAAUAUUGUUGUUUGAUGAACAAGCUCAGAGAAAGCACACGCAAUGGGUUUUGGUAACAGUUAUUAAAAUUGGGGAAAAAAUACUUGAGUUUGUCGAACUCAAAAUAGUAUAUUUAUUAUUUAUUACUAUAGCAACAACUUUUUCUGCAGUGUGUACAAUGGGUUACAAAACAGACAGUAAAAUAAGGGUGCGCCUAAAAUAUAUAAAUAUAUAAUAAGAACAUAUACAUAAAUAGAAGUAUAAUAAAAUAUUAAAAUAAAAUAAGUUAAUUUAAAAUAAGUGGUUGGCAAUAGUCCAAAAAAACUUAUCACAGUCCGUAAUGGUAGGUCCCACGUGUAGAGAAGAAAUUCUUAGGGUGUUGAAUGGGAUCAAGUCUUCACGGUUAUAUGCUUGAAAUAUGAUGGAGCAUAUGUAGAGAGAAAAAUAAAACAGGACUCCAAUGGCACGGUAUAUAGGUAAGUAAAAUAUAAAGAAAUAAAAAUAGUCUUACUCACACUUUUCAGAGCUAAAAUCCAGCUCUGAUAUUGCGCACGUAAAGUGGAAUAUCCUUUUUAUUAUUAGGGGAUUAGUGGGGACUCCCCUUUGAGGUGUGCAGCCUUCUUAUUUAUAUUUUGUGUGGCAAUUCAGUGCUGAUUUUUUCCUUUUGUUUUGUACAAUGGGUUACCUAUUCCUACUGAAUCUUUCUGGAUGAACAAGCUCAUAUAAAUGAUGAUAUCAAUAUUAUGCAUUAGAAUGCAUGUUAGUAUUAAAUAAAUAAAGACUGAAACAGAUUUCAUAAAAUACAAAGAUAGUUCAGGCACUCCAAGGUUCAGAAAUGGCAAGCUUAUUGAAACCCAAAGUAACACAACGUUUCGACCUUGUGGUCUUUGUCAAGCUAUCAAAUACAUAUACCACAACAAAUUUAUGGCAGUGACAGUUGUAUCAGAAAUCUCAUGUUUAAUGGAAAAUUACCAAACAACAUUCAAAAUAAACAAACUAAACUCAUGCACUGUUUAUUUGUUUUUGUUUUUUCACAACAAUUUUAUAAAUUUAGAUACAUAAAGUGAAUGCCUGUUAUAAUGUAUAAAUAUUAUUUUUCCAAUAAAAAUAAAAAAAUAUACUUUUUAUUACAUUUGUUUAUAUUUUUGUAUUGCAGUUUAUUUACUACAAUAUUUUUAUUGAAUUAGUUUAAAAAGUAACUUGUGCAAUGAAAGUGUAACAGUGAAUGUAUUAGUAAUGUCAUUUUUAACUCUUGCAUGUCUCGUUUAGUUGUAAAACCACAAAGUUGAAUGUAUAUUCACCUACAGUGCUGCCACAAACAAGCUGAUUCUCCCAAACUAGCUAGCAAUAUAACAAUAUAUAACACAAGGUGGCACAUGGGGGUGUGCAGUUGACUGUCAUAUUAGUGUUAUCAAAACCGUACUAGUAAUCAAGCAAAGGUAUACUUCUCUUGAUCAGAUGUCCAUACUGAAUUCAAUGUUAGAUCAUUUAUUUACGUAAAAAAAGAUAAAAAUGAAACAGAUUAUAGGGUAAUUUGACAAUCAUCAAAUUGUGUUAAACAACUUUCUCAAUUAGUGAUUAAGUCUACUCUCACCUGAUAUUUAAAUAUCAUCAGCUAAUGUUCCAUUGGUUGGUCAAUCAUGGAUGAUCCCUCCUCCAUGAUUCCUAGGGUCCCGUCUCUCGAAAGGCUCUUGGCUGAAAUUAAUGAUAAAACAUGUACAUACAAAUGCUUAUGUUGACAUUUAACAAUCUGUGUGGUUCAAUUGAGCACAAAUGUUGGACCAUAAUAGCUUUAUUAAAUGCAUAAAAGCCCUGUGUGGCCAAAAAGAAAUUCACGUGUUAGAGUUAUAACAUGUUGAGGUAGAAUCAUAUUCUUUUUUUUUCCCACCUUUUACAAUAAAAUACAUAUGUGAACAAUGGUCAGAGUUGCAUAAUUUUUAUAAACAAUUGUAAAAAAUGUAAAAACAAGAUAUUAUAAAUAUAUGAAAAAUACAUCAAGCGAAGAAUUCCAUGAUACCAAUAUAGAUAGCAAUAAUGAUUAAACUAGGUAAUGGUUCACUCCAUAUGUUUUCAAUUGGUGAAUCCAGUAAUUCUCCCUUUGGAAAACUCUCUUAACAAUGUAUGUAAUGUUAUCUACCUUGUCAAUUCCAAAACAAAAAAAAUGUAAUUUUAAAUUUAGCACAUUUAUUGCAGUGGCGAGAAACAUUGUGUUUAGUACUUUUUUUAUUUAUUAAAUUUAGAUGUUCUAAAAUAUCUUCCUUCAGGGGGUGAAUAAUUCAUCCCACAUACUGUAAUCCACAAGCAUACUGCCAUAAAUAUAUUAUGUUUGCAGAGUUGCAAUUUAUGAAAUGUUUAAUUUUAAACAGGUUUUUGUUACUGAUACUGGAAAGGCUGUUUUUUGUUCUAGGUAAGAACCAACACAUCUUAUAUUUCCCAUAUUUAUUAAACUCAACUGGUUGGGUUAUCUUGAAUUUAUCUUUGUGUGGUAUAACUUGAUUAAUUCAGUAUAAAUUACUUCAAGCUAAUCUGCGUUUUAUGGUUCCUGGGAUUUUUUUUUGUAUAUUAUUUGUGUUUUCUUCUGGUAAUAGCCCACUUAAGAUUUUAUCAUUUUUAAGUAUCCCCUAAUGUUUCUGAAUUGACCAAUUGAUGAGAUUGACCUGGUUGCGAUAUGUUAAAUAAUAAUGGAUGCAAAUCCCAAAUCAUUCAAAUUAUUACCUACUUGUUUAUUGUUGUGUUUAUCAUCUAAAAUAUGUUCUCUAUCAGUAUUUUUGCUUCCUUGAACAUUUCCUCCAAAACACAUGGGGGGUAUCCUUGUAAAAAAAAAAAGUUUUAAUUUGAGGUACAAUUUCUUUUCAUUCUCAUAAUGUGCUCCUUGAGGAUAUUAUUUAACCAGUUUUAUGGUGACAACGUUUAUAAUAUAACUAUAGGUAUUGAUGGAUUUGAAAAGGGUCCACAAUGACAUUGUGCUGCAUCCCAGCAUCAAGCAUGAUAUGGAAUGCUCCAUCCUUGACUGGAUGGUUUAUAACUCUAAAAUGACGUAGGCAUGGCUUUGUUACAGCAGCACCAUUUAAUUAUGUUAUGGCAUCAUUUUGAAUGCUAUGGCUAUUUAUACUUAGACCAAAAUGAGAUCAGUGCCCUUUUUUAUUCUUUUGUGGCCCAAAUGUUCAUUUUGUGUUUGCUAUUAUGGCUAUCGACUUUGGCCCAUAUCAUGACUAUCCUGGCCUCAGCCUCACCAUUACUAUGUUAAGCAUGGUCACCUCCAAGCAUUGUUAAUGCAUACUGUUCCUUGUUCUCUCCUGGGUUUGCAUGUUGGGAAUCUGUACCUUCCUGACUAACUAAGUAUCUGACUAUAACAUGGUGCUGUCUAUCAACAGCCAAAUAAUCAAUGUAAGGUUGUUUAAGACUCUGUUUGAAAUACAUAAAACAAUAUUUCUUUUUGUUUUCAAACCAGUUGUUAGAUCACAAUCCAUUUAACAUGUAUUGCAUUUAGAUUUAAUGCAUCUUUAUCUAAAUUUGAGAUGCUCAAAAUUUAUUAUUUUAAAAGUCAACUUUUUCUAGAAAUUAUUUGUAAGGGGAUCAUUCUGAGUAGAAAAGGAUAAAUAAUUCUUGUCUACAUAAGGCAUUCUGAUGUAUGUGUGGAUUGACAGACAGACAGUUCAAUGCUAAAGAAAUUCUAACCAAUAUGGUUGUUAUUAAAAUUAAUUAACGUUUUCUCAUAUUAUACAUUUUCAUAAAUAACGUAAAUUACUUAGCAACCAGUUUGUUCUACAACUGAAACCCAGUUGCAAGGUUUUUUUAGUACCUUAUAGUUUGCAAAGUCUGCAUUUGCUUCCCAGAGCUCAUCACAAUUAUUUAUUUUAGAUACUUUAGUAGAGGCACUAUUAAGAUUGAUAGCAUUGAUUGGAACCAGGGGUAGUUUAUAGAGCAUAUUACUGAAGUAUGCAACUGAAGGUUGUUCCUAAUAACUAUUGUGUUUACUGCCUUGAUGCAAUCUCAAGUACUGCUAUUUAAAAACCUUCAUACAGACAUUUUUGUUUUCACGUGUGUAUACGUCAGUGUCCAGUGUCUGGCUUGCUGUAUUUGUUAGUUCUGCAAAAAGAAAUAUUUCUAAGAACAUAUUAUCAUAAGUCCUCGAGAAUGAUGUCAUUAAUAAGCAAUUGACCAAAAAUCUUCUUAUAGUGUAUAUGUUAACAUUAUGAAAAUAAUAUAAAUGACCAAUACAAACAGCUCCCUGAUGACCUGUUUAUUAACAAUACAGUAGAUAGAGAAAGGAUAGUUCAGAGGAGAGUUCAAGUGAACAUAAAUUCAGAGUUAAAGAAAAGAGAUUUUACUUCCAGUAAGAACAAUACGUAUGUUAUAUUGUCUGCCUUUAGAUUUUUUUAUAUCAAUCACAUUGGACGCAACAUAGCUAUUUAUUUAUUUUUUCAUAUAUAUAUAUAUAUAUAUAUAUAUUUUUUUUUUAAACAUGAUGAUUGUAAAUGCUAAUCAAUAGAACAACAAAUGAUUCAUUUGUAUUUUACAAUUUUGUCAUAGAUAUUUUUUUCCAUCUCUGUCUCACAUCUCACCUGUUAUGAUUUACUGGAACUUUUUUUGGUUUGUGCAUUAUUGUUGUUGGAAUGUUGCCUUCAUGCACUGACAGUGCACCCAGCUUUGUUAAAGGAAUGCCUGAUCAACUUUGUAUCAUUCAGAUUUUUUUUUCUUGUAAUACAAAGUUGUUGCAUGAGCUAUCUUAGUUGGAUUACCCAUUAAUUGAAACCAUCUGUCUACUGGCAUUACUGUAACUUACAAAUCAGCUGUACUGACUCCAACCCUCCUGUAUAAUUUGUUACACAAGGAAACUCCAGCAUUUAUCUGCUUUAUUAGGAGACUGCAAAUACAAUAGACAGACAGAAAUACAGAGAUAUAUAAACAGAGAUAGAUAGAUAGACAGACAGACAGAUAGAUAGACAGACAGAUAUUUAAUAUUUUUUUUUCAUUUUAUUUCUAUCAUUUGAUAGUUAUGGACUGUGCAAUCUAUUCUACCAUCACUAUUAACAUAUUUUUAAAGUGAUACCCUCCUGUAACUUACAUUGUAUUUUUCUGCAGUUGGGUUCCUAAUUAUUUAUUGAAACAAGUUAUACAAGUUAUUAUAUCACACCUUUAUCAAAAUGUGUAAAACAUGCUUUUGUCAAACAGCAAAUAGAUAUGGAUACUGAGAUGGAAUAUCUGGUCACCGAAGCCGGGUACAUGUCUCCCCAACCUCCACCCCUCAAUCAAAAGACUAUUAUCACCAUGGACGAACCCUCCAACCCGUGCAUCCCAGUCUAACUCGCCUUCCUAUUGGCUCCAAAAUCACCUCUCACCAGUAAGGGGGCCCUGAGGCAUGGUGUGCCUGAGCGGGAGCAAACCUGAACUCUCCUGGAACUCUAAAGUAGAUUGCAGAGUCACCACGAUCUGCUAAAACGUCAACCAGACUGCUUCAGUCCCAGCACCAGCAGUCAGGGUGCUUUUGGAGGAUUAAUAGAGGGAGUGGGAAGGCAUCGAAUGACAUCAAGGACUUGAGGAGUUCCAUCUACCCACAGAAAGCGCUGAGAUUUUAGGUGGCUGUGAACUCUAGCUAGCACUCUGGAACUCUGCUCUCAGGGGACUAGCCGGGUCCCACUAAACUUUGUAACUUCACCUAAUUCAGGCUAGCCACAUUCAAUCUGUGCAUUUUUUGGACAGUAUGGACACUCCAGAGAGACCUUUCAAUGGAUGGUACUCUUGUGUGGAUAUGGUCACUGGAAAUAUGGUUUAUUGUUGCUUUUGUUAACCCAGUGCCAAGGUUUCUGGAUGAUAAUUAAAUUACCAGCUCAGGCACAGACAACAAAUCUCUGGGUAUGUCACAAUCUAUUGUUUUCUCUGGGGACCUUGUGUGGAAUCCCCAGAUAUAUAAGGUGACAAUUGUGCCUCAAUAAAGCAGUUCAUUUUCACCCUUCACUAAGUCUCAACUAGUGCUUGGGUGAGACAGAGGUACUCUCUGCAAGAGAGCAUAAUCACUCUGGAGCUUCUGCACAAGGGAAGGGGACAGCCUAGGCGGUAGUAACCCAGCUUCUCAUGGGUAUACCGCCACAGUUAUAAAAUUACCUAUAGUACAAAAUCUUAUUUUAAAUUUAUGACAAAUGAGCCUACCAUCCAAGAAAUUGUUACUAGAAAUCACACUGGUUGACACCCUGUGAAGAAGGUUUGUAUUCUAUAUUAGAUAUAUAUGGUAUUAUAAUAAUCUAGCAAAUGUAAACACAUACAAGUUAGUACAUUUGGAGGAUUAUUUCUUAUGUUAAUGAAGCUAAUAGUAAAUUAUAUUCCAGUUUAUUAGUAAAUAUAAAAAAAACCAUAUUUAAACAUUAUACAAAAGCAAAUUUGUUUAUGGAAAGCCUCGGAGAUAUAUAAUCAUUGGGAACAGCGCAAACACUCAGUUGUAGUUUGCUAACACUGCAGUGAUUUUACAAUUGUCAUGUCCUGUUCCAUUCUGCAGAUAUGUCUGGCUUUGGCUUCUGGUAUCCAGUACUCUUUUUACAAUUCUUGUUUAGUUUUUCUUGUUUUUUCUGAUUUGCUAUUCUAUGUCUGGUUUUCUGGGUACAUUCCUUUAUCGCGUUCCUGGAAUUCCCAGUCUCCUGGAUUCCUUUAAAUGUUUGUUUUUUCUUGCCACACCCAUUCCUUUGCCAUUAAUCCUUUUUUGUUUCAGUCUGUUCCUGCAAGCAGUGGUCUCAUUUCCUCUGCUCCUUUCUUUACAGGUAAGUACUGUGUGUUUUUUAUUGUUGUUUAUUUAGUCAUGUAUAUCUAGGCUGUAAGGACCCACCGUAAUUGGAGUACUUUGGCGCAGUGGUGGGCUGCAUACAUCUUGGUCAUUUAUCUAUGUCUGAAUCUCCAAUGUUUAUUACAAAUAUAGUACGUAAUUAUGUCUCCUCUUGUUUUGCCUUGUAUCUCUUGUCUCGUUUUAUUUGUCUUGUAUUCCCAGUUCAUGUACAGUCCUAUUCUGUCCUGCUCUGUCCAUGUCCUGUUCAUGUUUCCCUCAUGUAUUGUGUACAUGUUCUGGGUUCUGCUUUCUGUCCUGCUCCGGUUCUGGGUUCUUCUAGUCUUAUCUUUUUUACUUGUUUGGUGCCUGUUCUAGUUUUACCUUGUUUCUAGUACUGGAUACAUAUCUGCUUAAUAUCAGCUCAUGGCAUCCGCUUAAGCUGCAUCAGGGCUUUGGUAUUUGGCCGCAGAAACCCUGGUGCUCAACACCAGGAGGUGUGUGGUUACCCUGCACCAGGCCCUCAUAGUCCAUUUACACGCUAAGACUCCCAUCAUCCUCGUCAGGCACACAGGUGUCCCGGUCUUCGGACCGCCACCCGUGACAACAAUAUCUAUAUUACUGUGAUUGUAAUCUAUAAUGCUAGUCAGUAAUCACAAAACACAUACAUUUUAAGAAAAUCACAUUGCCUAUACUAGGCACACAUGCACUAACCAAAACAAGUAUCUGCUGUCUUUGUUCAGUUCUCUGCAAAUGGAAUGUUUGUUGCUAAACUCUAUGAUUGAAAUGCUAGAACAACCUAGCCAUAUAAGAUGAAUCGAAUCAUUUUAAAUUACAAUUAUCAAAAUGAAUAAUGCCUUUGAGCUGAGAGUAUCCUUUCAAACUGUUUAAUGUUUAUAAAAGGUUUAUAAAGGUUACUGUAAGAAAGCCAUUCAUCCUUAUCCUUAUCAUGCCACUCUGCAUGCCAAUUAAUGCCACUUUACCUGCCACACUUCAUGAUUCUUAAAUUAUUUGUUAACAUCUUUGUACAUUAGAGAGAUUUGCUUUGAAGUAUGUAAGUAUUGCAGUAUGAAUGUUUUAUAUUCUUUAAAUGCCAUACAUUAAAAAAGAGUAUGCAGUUCUAUACCUAGGGUAAAAAAAAAUGUGAGUUAAAAACAUUACAUGUAUUUUCUUUUAAUUAAAUGAUUGAAAAUUAAUUUUGGACUUAUUUCCCAUAAUUACCAAUGCUAGGCCUGUCCCCAUGGUUAUUGGUAAAACGUCAAAAAAUGCUUGCUUUGUCUGCAUUUGACUGAGCAAGUUGUCCUUUGUGUUUGCAUAUACCCGAUGCCAUAUUUCACAGAUAUUUUAUAUUUACAAUGUCUAGAGACAGACCUUAUUUGUGCUUAAAUGUACAUUACAUGUAUUUUUUGCUGGUAUUAAAGGUUUGUGGUCAAAGCAUGACUUUUCACUUUUACAUCUAUUUGAGGAAGGCAUAAUUAUUAGUCAAAUAGCAUCUAGCAAUAAUUUAUGCCAUCUAUCCUCUACAUUGAAUUCUGUGACCUUGUAAAUGUUAACAAUAGUCCUUCAGGCAAUUAGCAACUUGCUAUUAAAAGUUACUGACAAGUGACAACCGUGGCCUCAUGGAUGUAUAGCCUUUAUAUGAUUGACUUUGUGAUGAUGACUGGACUAUGAAAGUUAAAUACCUAGUUAAAACAGAUAUAUAAGGUCAGUGGCAGAACUCAGAGUCAGUGGCAUUACCACUUGUAGGUGAUAACGCAUGAAAUCCCAGACUCCUCCUUUUGUGGAGCAUUGAUUAAACCUAGGUUAUAUACAUCUACAGCACUGGCAGCAAAACACCAGGAAAAAAGGCUAACCAGUCUAAGUUGGAGAAAAUCACAAAGGUGUUGUUAGCCUUGCUUUUUCUAUAUUCACACUCUCAGCUGUAAUCCCACUGCAUGAAAAUUGAAAAUUUAACCCUAGUAGUUUAAUUAGUCCAUUUAAUAGAUAUGUGUAUAAACCCAGGAGACUAUAAUUUAUUGAAAAAGUGCUAAACCUCUUAUAUUUGAUUGCUUGGACAACAUCUUACAAGAUCAAAAGGCAGUGCUCAGCCAAUCUUGUUCUAAGGGACCUAGAAGUCGCAUGGGUACCUAGAAGUCGCAUUGGCACUCCAAUAGGUAUAUGACAUUUUAGUGUUGCAGCAUAUAAGAUCUUUGAUAGGAUAGGAUUUUUUAGUGUUAAUCCGAUGUGAAGUGAGUGUUUUUUGAUCUUAUGCUGGGAACUAUUGUUUUACAUACAAUACAUUGAUUACAUUUAAAAAAACACUUUUGAUUUGGAUAAAAAGGAUAAGUUAUUGUUGACCCUGUUUUUUGCAUAAUUCUUAGUAAGGAUCGUUCUAAAAUUUUGGGCACCUCUAAAAACAUUUGUUCUAUCUGGAAUAAAAUCUAUUAAAAUCUCAUCCUGUUUUAAUAUGUGCCAGUGUUUUUAAUCAUUUUUUUGACAGGCUACUUUUAUUGUUAAAUAUAACACAAUGUUAUUGUUAAAUAUAACAGGCAUAAAAUUAGAAUUUUUUUUGUCUCUAUCUUUGUAUUCAAAAAGGUCUAUCCUGUCUUUUCUUGUGAUGGUCUCUAGAGUAUUGUUGAGGUUAUCCAAAGAGUAAUUUUUGUUCGUGAAUUUGUUUUUUUAAUUCUAAGGCUUGUUCUUCAAAGUCUGUGAUACGGGAGCAGUUUCUACAUAAAUGUAAGAAUUAGCUUUUAGGAAUUCCUUCAACCAUGGUUUGUGAUGACAACUAGAUUGGUCAAUUACUGUAUUAGUGCAUACUUUUUUGUUUUAGUGUUAAUUGUGCCAUUGUGGAUAAAAAUAUGUAGAUCUAAAGAAUUAAUACAUUCUCGACUGUGUUCUGAAGUUAAAAUGAUACCAUGGCUGUUAUUUAAAUGAUUUUUAAAAAGUUUAAGAGAAUCUUCAUGGCCUUCCAAAUAAAAAACAGAUCAUCUAUAAAUCUAAACUAGGAGACCAGGUUUGUCUUUCAAACAUGCUGACCCCAGAUGGCCAUGGAUUCCCAAUUGGCCAUGAAGAGGUUAGCAUAGCUCGGGGCAAACCUGGUCCCCAUAGCUGUACCUUGUUUUUGAAUAUAAAAAGAAUCUAAAAAACAAAAUGAAUUGUUAUUUCAAAUGAUAUUAAUACCUUCUAUAAUAAAAUUGAUCUCUUCUGCUGGGAUAGAGUUUUCAGCUGUUAAAAUGUUAAAAACUGCUUCACAAACCUUAUCGUGAAGAAUAAUUGUAUACAAGGAUUGUACAUCGCAUGUAACUAAAAUGUAGUCUGGGUGCCAGAUAAAAUUUUCUAAAGAGCAAAGAAAUGUCAUAGAGUCUUUAAGAUAUGAUCUCAUAUGAUUUACUGAUGGAGAAGGAUAUCUAUAUAUUCUGAUAGGUUAGCUCGUAUGGAAUUUAUCCUGGAGACAAUAGGUUUACCUGGAGGAUUGGUCUCAUUUUUGUGUAUUUUUGGGAGGAAAUAGAUAACAGGAAUUAUUGGACAAAUGACAUUUAAAUAAUCAUAUUAAUUUUUGGUUAAAAUAUUGGACUCCAAACCAGAAUUUAUAUUCUAAGAGUUUUGUAAUGUUAGGGGUGGGAUCUGAGGUUAAUUUAUUAUUGAGAUGUUUUCAUCAUUUAUUGCCUGAGUGCUUCGUCUAUGUACAUGGUUUUAGAUAAUAUAACUAAGCCUCCACCUUUAUCUGCUGGUUUAAUGAUAAUUUCUUCGUCUGCUUGUAGUUCUUUUAAUGCUCGCUGUUCUUGGUGAGUUAAAUUAUAGUGUUGAUGUUUGUGUUUUUUAAUAUUGUCAGGGUCUUUUAAAACUAAUUUUUCAUAGGGCCAGAUUUAAAACCGGAUGGAUAAAAAUGUGAACGUUUUUUAAGGUGUGUUCUAACUAUCGUGGAUUCAUUUGAAAUGGUAGGAUUGGGAAUAUCUGAAUUACUCUGAGUCGUGUGUGUUGUAAUGUCAGAUGUGUUCAAUUUGCUGAACAUGUGUUCGAUUUUCUUUUUAGUGCAGCCUUUCUAAUUAAUUUAUUGGUGUCUAAAAAGGCUUGGAAUUGGUUAAAAGGGUUAGUGGGAGCAAAUUUUGGGCCCUUGCUUAAAACAGAAAUUUGGGUAGAAUUUAAAACCUUUUGAGAUAAGUUAAAAAUGCCAUGUUCUUUUUCAGUUUUAUCUGAUAAUGUCUUUUUAGUCUCUCUCUUUUGUUUUAAUCUUCUUCUACCUCUCCUUCCUCUAUGCUUAAACUCCGUUUUAUUUACCUUGACAAAAAACCCGGUUUGGUGUUUGAAUGGUGAUAUAUUUUGCCAGCUUUAACAGAAUGUGUUUCCCAUUCAUAUAAAAAAUUAUUUAAAAAAAUAGGAAUAUUAAAAUGUUUUAAUUUUGAAUAUGACAAAUAUUCUAUAUCAAACAAUUCAACAUAAUUUUAUAAAAAGAAAAUACUGACAAAGAGUGAAUAACCUUUUUUAGCUUUCAAAACAAAUUUAACUGUUUAAAGUUUUUCCUUAAUCAGUCAUAUAGAAUAUUAAUAUUGAAUGAAUAUUAGUUUUACUAAAACCCAGAAUUUUGCACUGCACUCAAAUAUUAAUAUUUAGUGAUCAGGUGAAAUCCUGUCAACUACGCCAUUUGUAUGUAGAAAAUCACAUGAGGAUAUUUGAGAAUGAUUAAUUUGAUUUAGCUCUUACAACAAUAAGUAUUUAAAAAUAAUCUUUAGCUGAUCACAUUGAACACCAACAUAGUGAAGGAAAAACGCAAAGUCUUCUGGAAGCAGAAUAUGGAAGAAUAUAAAACAAUAUUGCAUUGUAAUAGACAGCUUAGAUUUUAAGUUUGGAUAAAGCUUCUAUGGCUCCACUAGUUUUGCCCAAAUUCUUCUCCUUAUACACUGAAUGGAGAUGCAUUUAUUCCUCUCUCCUUCUCUUUCUCAAACCAAGCUUCGAGAAGCCUGUCCCAUGCGUGCAAUUGCUCCUCGUUGCUCACAAAGCCUUUGUUCUGUGAAGGGGAGCUUCCUCCACAACUAAUAGACUCCUAUAUGCAUUGGAUUUUGCAAUUACUCACCAAAGUUUACUUGUUGCACCUUUUGUACACUUAUUGCCUUUAUUUAUUUAUUUUAAGGUUAUUAUAAGAAAUUUUAUGAAAUGAUUCAAGUGUUGGCAUGAAUUUUGUUAAAGAUACUAGCGUAUUGCAUAUUGACAGGGGAAUAAUGCCUGCAAAAUAACUUGGAAUAAGGUCAAUCUUGAAUGUUAAUACCGGAAACGUCUUUGUUGGUUCUUAGUGUCAUGGUUAAUGGCUCCAAAGACAAUAUAAAUAGAAGCAGAGACAAUGGACACCAUUCAUGAAUGUCACUGGAAAUAAAGCCUUUGUUGAUAUUCCUGGAGGCAUUAUGUUGGUAUAUAGUGGCAUGAUCAUUUAAAAAAACAAGAAAGCAGGAGGGUUGGUGUAGCACCUAGGAUGUCGUCGGAAAUAUAUGUAACGACAGAAGGAGAGGACUAAUAGUGUAGCAUGUAAAAUAUGUUGGAUAAAAAGUAUUAAAAGUUGUUCACUCACACUUUUUAGGUGCUAAUGUUCAGCUCCAACUUGAACUCUUGGGCAGAAUGAUCCCCACCUAGCGAUAUAAUGUGGUACAGGAUCUGCAUGUAGUCCUUGUAGUAAUAGCAUUUCUUGUGGAUAUGUGGAAGAAAAUCAAGACAGUAUAGUGUAGUAUGCCAGACCAAACAGCAAUAUGGCAGUAUAAAAAUAUACUGCUAAUCCUAAUAAGUCAGUGAGCUUUCCCAAGUCCACAUAAAGCUCCUGACUAAUUUUGGUGUAAUACUGUUUUGGUCGACGCCGUGGCUGUGCCAAUCACGUGGCACAGCUCACGGCGCCAUUUUGAAAUUCACAUUUUUCUUCCCUCUCCUUACUAUAUAUAUUUUUUUCAUAAUAAUUGCUCAUUUUUUGUAUUUUAACACUUGAACAUACCCUCUCAGAGUAAUCGGGCCCAUGCCCACUCAGAGUAUUCUUACAGUUUUUGUAACAUUUUUAAAUAUUCAUGUUAAUUUACUUCCGAUCACAUGACUAUGCCAUCACACGUCCAUUGUUUUCACAUUUUAGAUCCCAUUAAAAGCAGCUUUGGUCCUUUUAGUCUGUAAACACUUUUUAUAAAGCUAUUUAAUGGUGAAACUCAUGAAGUAUAUCUAAAUAUUGUUCUAUACUGCUUAGUUUCCCUUUUAUUGUUUUAUUCUUUGUUUUUAUGAGAAAAGUACUUUUUUAUUGCUGCUGGAUUCCUGAACACCUAUAUCCUUGGAAGGGAUAAAAAACCACAUGUGCCUUUUGGAUUGAGCAAACCUAAUUUUGUUUUACUAAAUGCAAGCAAAUUUUUAUUAUUCUAUACUUUCAUUCCAUCUGUACGGAAUACACUAUUGUGGUUUCAUUUCUCUUACAUAUACAAAGGGAUACCAACACCACCUAUAUUCUUGAGUGGGGAUCAUACCACUUCACGCCAUAACUGUGGAGUCACUGUUCAGGCUCCAUAAUAUGCAUAUUUUUAUACUGCUAUAUUGCUGCUAUUUAAUCUGGCAUACUACACUAUACUGUCUUAAUUUUCUACACCAACCCUCCUGCUCUCUUCAUUCUCUACUGGAUAAGAGAGACUCCUGAUCUGGUAACUAAGCUGCCUUAGAACUAUAUCAGUAUUUUACAAGUCUGAAAAACAAUAUUGAUGAGAGGUAUAGCGCUCAUGUUAUUACAUUGCCUUGCCCAACACCGCGUGUACCCGGCGGUGUCACAGCGUGCUUUAAUUGACCAUACACGAUCGUUACAGUAACUCAGCUGAGCCCAUAGUGUGACGUGGCAGAUCACAGCCCAAGCCACUGGAGCGUUCUUCCUCAGAGAUCGCGGUGUUCCUAUGGACGCCGGCUGCUGCGAUGCCGCUGUCCUAUGUAGCUCAGUCUCUGGCAGGGUUGGGGAUCAAGCGCCCGUACGUUUUGGAAUCACAUGAUCCCUGCCUACCAAUAACAUUGAGGAAUAGGCUGUUUCAACCCCUUACUGUGUUUCCUCUUUGCCCUGCCAUGGUUUCCAUCCUGUUUGGUUAUCCAUGAGUGCUUUUCGGUAUAUUGUUAUUUCUAGUUUUCACUCUUGGCCUGUUCUAACUAUCUGUAUUUCUGGCUUCCUGACUCUUUGGCUUUUGGUUACCGUUUAUGCUUCUAUCUGUAUCCUUAAUUUCAGUUAGUUCCUGGUUAUUCUAUAUACUAUUCUUAAUUCCAGCCAUUAUAAGGCCCUGUAAUGUUUCCUUAGUUUAUUAUUUUUUCUGUGUUUGUCUUAAUUCUGCGAGUUGGGCAGAACUUUUGCCCAACUUUUGAUGACACAACAUUGCUUGGCUGCUAUAAAUUAAAAUUUUAGAAUUUGUGUCCAAGUCCAUCUCUGCAUUUGUGUUUCAGCUGAAACAUAUGAUUACACAUGGAAUGUUAUGCAUACAUGAAAAUGUAGUAGUAUAGGAGACCCACAAAUUUCCAGAAUAUUUGGAUCAGAAUGCUAUCUAAAGACUAGCCCUUUUCUAAAAGCUGGUUUCUAAUAAUUAUAUAUAGUAAACCACCUGCACUCACGGUAUAUAAUUAUGUCAUUGUUAAAAAAAACACAGUGUAUUAUAAUAUUUAUAAAACUAUUUAUUUGGUACAUAGACUUUAUAACUUUAGUUUCAUGAACAGAAGAAUGCAAUGUAAUUCACAUCAUAGUUUCCACUUGCGAAGAAUAGGAGGAAGGAUAUUUAUGUAAAAUAUAAUUUAAAGUGUAAAAAGAUCUUUGUGUCUUCGGAGUGGGAGUGUACAUGUUAAGCAUGGAUUACAAAUGCAUCCUGUUGAUGAAUUGUUCUUGAAGAAGAUCUUCUUGAGAGCAUUUUUUUCUAAAAAAAAGAAAUAGAAAAAUGAAAAAAGAAUAGAGGAAUAUGAAAUCAGCAAAUGUAGUUCAUAUGAGUUUUAUGAAUUCUAACAACUGAAUAACAGAACACAAAAUCCCACUGUCAUUAAUAAGAGUUUCCAUGCGUUGAUACAAGCAUUUCACUUAUUUGCAACUGAUAAUUUAAAAAAAACUUCAAGACUUUACUGCAGGCUUCCCCAAACUCCGGCCCUGCAGAUGUUGCUGAACUACAACUCCCAUGAUUCUAUGAAUGAAAUAGAUAGGCUGAGAAUCAUGGGAGUUGUAGUUCAGCAACAUCUGGAGGGCUGGAGUUUGGGGAAGCCUGCUUUACUGCAAAACAAGUUAACAUAUAUGACGUAGAUAAUCUGAACUCCAAAAAUAUUAAUAUUCCAUUUCCUGAGUAUCGUUUCAAAUUAACUGCAAAUUCAUGAAAGCAAAAAAUAAUAAUAUAAUAAAAGAUAAAAUAAAACAUAAAAGUUCUGAGAGCAAGGCAAAAUCGCUAUGGAAACUGAAUACAUGAUAUUGGACUUUAUGGAAUUAUAGCUUUUGUCAGCUUAUCAGUCAAUUAAUAAGAGCUCUAGGAAUAAAAAGGUGCUUAAGACAAAUGGAGAAAAAAAUUAUAAUUCUGACACCUUUUCAUUUAGGUGUGCCUGUAUUUCAUGCCAAUCUGAUAUAUACCCACUGCAUUCAUAUUCAUAUCACUAAUAAUAUCUGUAUUUGUUCUGCUUUUUAACAUUCUCAGUUACAUUCUGGGCUAAAUGUGCCUUUUCAGUAUGGUUUGAUUUAGAAAAAAAUAAUAAUAAUGAAAAUGAUGAUAAAAAAAGGAAUGGGGUUUACUUAUUAAUGUGUUAAUUCAUUAAUGUGCAUUGUCCAGUUAUUCAAAUGGCCCAGGUAGUAUAUAUUGGGGCAUUUCAGAAACCAUUUCAUUUCAGGGGAAUCAACACUUUUCAUUGGGAUGAUGGUAUUAGCGCUAAUUUUGCCUGGGAUCUAAUCCCCUACUCUAGCACUAUAAUCAGGGAGGACACUUUGGCCUGGCUAGGUAUUCCCCUGUCAUGUUUAACUUCUGGAUCAGAGUUUUAGAUACCCCUAACCCAUUAUUUAAAGAAUACCUUUGUGCAUGUGUGUGGCUUGGGCAGUGGCUUAACUCAACAUAAGUAAAAAGAUCUGAAGCCGUUGGUAUUUUUACCACUUAGCAACACUCCUAAUUUUUACCCAUCAUUCUCUCCUGGCUAGAGCACUCAAUCCAGAGAGAUACUCUAUGUAUAGCUCUGUGCGGAGAUCAUACUCACAAAAGCAGCACUGCAAAUAGGUUUAGCUGGGUGUAUCAUUACGUUGUUCACAGUUUGUCUCAAUAAAAACUUAGAUGAGAUAUCUGUGUUGACAGGACCUGAUUUUCCUACUGGCAAUGGCAAGGAUUCCUGCCAUUUGGUUUCCAAUUAGGUUUAAUCAGUUGUCCUUUUUCUCCACAGUGCCCCUUUCUCUCACUUAACAAUCUGUUUUUUUCUCUUUCUCGUCAGCUUUUAUCCCCAUUUUUUACCUCUGUUUCAUUUUCCUGAAGCUUGCAGUCUCUACGUACAGUAUAUCUCUGCUCGCUCUAUGCCAUUGAUUCUCUCCAAAAAAAAAUGGAAAGUAAUCCAGGCACUCCAAAGUAUGCCAAAAAAGGCAAUUUUAUUGGACCCAUGAACCAAAAAACAACAUUUCGACCCUAAGGUCUUUGUCAAGCUUGACAAAGACCUUAGGGUCGAAAUGUUGUUUUUUGAUUCGUGGGUACAAUAAUAUUGCCUUUUUUGGGAUACUUUGGAAUGCCUGGAUUACUUUCUAUUUUUCUAAAUUAUACAUUUGGUCCUUUGGUACUGGGACUGAUCCUGUUAGCACUUACAUAUGAAAUUAACUUUUAAUUCAUUUUGAAUCCCCAACAAUUUUAACUUUAAUGAAUUACCUUGUUAUUGUGUUUUGUCACGUUCUAUUCUUUUCUCUUCCCUGUCUAUUCUUUAACCCCUUAGUGACCAGACCUUUUUUCAAUUUUCUUACCAUUAAGGACCAGGGUUGUUUUUACAUUUCUGCAGUGUUUGUGUUUAGCUGUAAUUUUCCUCUUACGCAUUUACUGUAUUCACACAUAUUAUAUACUAAUUUUCUCACCAUUAAAUGGUCUUUCUGAACAUACCAUUAUUUUCAUCAUAUCAUAUAAUUUAUUAUAAAAAACUUAUAAAAUAUGAUGGAAAAAUUAAAAAAAAACUUUUUCAAACUUUGACCCCCAAAAUCUGUUACGCAUCUUUAACCCCCAAAAAUACCCAUGCUAAAUAGUUUCUAAAUUUUGUCCUGACUUUAGAAAUACCCAAGGUUAACAUGUUCAUAACUUUUUUUUUGCAAGUUAUAGGGCUAUAAGUACAAGUCCUAACUAUAAGAUAAGACUAGGGACAAAUGAAAGUAUUUAGAAAAUUGGGCAGACUAGAUGGGCCGAAUGGUUCUUAUCUGCCGUCACAUUCUAUGUUUCUAUGUUUCUAAGUAGGACAUUGCUGUUUCAAAAUAUAUAUUUGAAAAAUGUAUCAAUAGUGACAUUGUAACACUGUUAUCAGUCAUAAAUCACUGAAUCACACCUCACAUGUACAUUUUUUUUUUUAAAGUAGACAACCCAAGGUAUUCAAUAUGGGGUAUGUCCAGUUUUCUUAGUAGCCACUUAGUCAUAAACACUGGCCAAAGCUGGCAUUUAUAUUUGUUUGUGUGUUAAAAAUGCAAAAAAAACAAUUAUGAAUGCUAAAUUUGGCCAGUGUUUGUGACUAAGUGACUAUUAAAAAAAACUGAACAUACCCCAUUUGCGAUACCUUGGGUUGUCUUCCUUUGCAAAUGGUAUGCCAUCAUGGGGGUAAUUUUCAUUGCUGGGCUACCAUACACUCUCAAAGGCAACAUAACCAAUCUGGCAAAUUUCAAUAUGAAAAAAUGGAAAAUCAAGCCUUAUAUUUGACCCUGUAACUAAUAAAAACACUAUAAAACAGUAAAACAUAACACAACAAUGAUAUCAUCAGUGAAAGUGCCAUUUGUGAGUGAAAAAUGCAAAAAACUUCACUUUCACUGACAAUAUCAUCGCUGUGAUAUGUUUUACUGUUUUUAAACACUGACAUUUGUGUUCAGCGAAGUCUACCAAGUAAAACAGUACCACCCAUGUACAGGUUGUAGGGUGUCUUGGAAAGUUACAGGGUUAAAAAUAAUGCUAGCAAAUAAAAUUCUCUGGACUUUCGGCCUGGGUUGUCAGACAAGUCACCCAAAUUGCAAUCAAUAAAAUUACUUAAUUAUGUAAAAAUAUUACAUAAAUAUGCACGUAGAAUUUAAAUAUAUAUACAUAUAUAUAUAUAUAUAUAUAUAUGUAAUUAUGUAUAUAGACAUGUGUAUUUUGUAUUAAUUUUAUUUAUUUAUAUAUAUAUAUAUAUAUAUAUAUAUAUAUAUCAUUCUAAGUGUAUUUUGAUAUAAUAUAUAUAUAUAUAUAUAUAUAUAUAUAUUAAUAUCAACAUACAGUUAGAAUAAAAUUACAUGUAUAUUUUUUAUUAUUUUUCCAUUUUUUAUUUAUUUUUAAUAAUUUUUUUUUUUCUAAUAAUAUAUAUAUACAAUUAUUAUAUAUAUUAUAUAUAUAUAUACACAUGUGUAAUUUUACUUUAAGUGUAUUUUAUAUUAAUAUAUAUGUAUAUGUAUAUAUUAAUAAAAAUACACUUAGUAUAACAUUAUGUAUAAGAUAUAUAUAUAUAUAUAUAUAUAUAUAUAUAUGUGUGUAUAUAUGAAAUACACAAUCCAGCACACUUGCUUAUUCACUAAACAAUGAUAUUAAAUCUUUACAGAUUGUAAUAGUUUCAUUUAAAAACACCUCAUCUAGGCAAAAAACAAUAGGGGUAUAGUUACAUUAUAUGAUCAUAUAUUGCAUACGUCUGCCACAAUGUCAAUGUACCCCAUUCUUGGCAGGUCCUAUUCUAGCUACUCUUUAAUUUUUUAUUCUUCACUGAGUGCCACUCAGCACACAGGCAAAGCAUCAGAAUCCUGCCUGAUGGCUUCCGGUGCUCUGCUACACUGCCGGGGAGCGAUCACCCGGCGGCACGGCAGUCAGGGGAGGUAUUGCAGGAUGCCUCGACAUCGACGCAUUUGCCGUGGACAUACCAGGUACAUCCAAAGUCUCUAACAACCAUUUUUUGUCAGGCAUACCUGGUACGUCUGUGGACAUUAAGGGGUUAAACAGUGAGUUGAAAUAUAACUUUAAACAUUUAGGCCAAACUAGAAGUGUAAAACAUCACCAUCUCAAUUCCGCUAUUUUGACUUAAAGGACCACUAUAGUGCCAGGAAAACAUACUCGUAUAGUGCCCUGAGGGUGCCCCCGGCUCUGGGGAGAGGAAAGGGGUUAAAACUUACCUUUUUCCAGCGCUGGGCGGGGAGCUCUCCUCCUCCGAUCCUCCUCCUCUCCUCCCAUUCGGCUGAAUGCGCACGUGCGGCAAGAGCUGCGCGCGCAUUCAGCCUGUCUCAUAGGAAAGCAUUUAUAAUGCUUUCCUAUGGACGCUUGCGUGCUCUCAUUGUGAAAAUCACAGUGAGAAGCACGCAAGCGCCUCUAGCGGCUGUCAAUGAGACAGCCACUAGAGGGAAUGGGGGAAGGCUUAACCCAUUCAUAAACAUAGCAGUUUCUCUGAAACUAUGUUUAUGAAAAAAUGGGUUAACCCUAGCUGGACCUGGCACCCAGACCACUUCAUUAAGCUGAAGUGGUCUGGGUGCCUAGAGUGGUCCUUUAAGUUUUAAAAGAUUUUUCAAAUCAGUGUUUAGUGAAUAGAUUCCCAAGUGUCUAAUUACCUGUUCUUGUUUAAGAGAUACAGGCCAGGACAUCUAGUAGAAAAUGUCUGGGAAGCUGGGAAGACAUUUAGGAAACAGAGACAGACUAGGGAGAAAUUUAGGGAACAGAGAUGGACCAGACUGGGAAGACAUUUAGGCAGGAAAAAAAGACAGACUGAAGAGACGUUUAGGGAAAGGAGACAGACAGAGUAGGCAUUUAAGGAAAGCAGAUGCACCAGUGAGAAAUUCAUUGUCUCCCUGGUCUGCUUUCUUUCCCUGAAUUUCUCACUGGUGCAUCUGCUUUCCUUAAAUGUCUACUCUGUCUCCUUUCCCUAAACGUGUACAUACAUACACACACACACACAUAUAUCCACACACACUGCCUAAUACAUACAAUUAACCAUAAAUGCACACUGCCAAAUACAUACAUACACACACACAUUGCCCAAUACAUACAUCCAUACACACACUGCCCAAUACAUAUAUCCACACAUGUACACUGCCUAAUACAUACAAUUAACUAUACACACACACUGCCCAAUACAUACAUCCAUGCACAUAUACUGCCAAAUGCAUAUAAGUACACACAAGCACACUGCCUAAUACAUACAUACAUAUACACACACACACUGCCUAUUACACACAAUAAACCAUAUACACACACUGCCUAAUACAUGCAUACACACACACACACUGCCUGAUAGAUGCAUACAUCCAAACACACACUGCCCAAUACAUACAUCCACACACACACUGCCUGAUGCAUACAUACACACACUGCCUGAUGCAUACAUACACACACACUGCCAAAUACAUACAACCAUACACACACUGCCCAAUAUUUAUAUUUACACACGCACUGCCUACUACAUAUAUUUAACCAUACACACACUGUCUGAUACAAAUAUUUAACCAUACACACACUGUCUGAUACAUAAAUUCAGACACACACUGCCCAAUGCAAACAUCCAUACACACAUGCUGCCUAAUACUUACAAUCAAUCAUACACAUACACUGCCCAUUACACACAUACGGCCCAGUACAUACAUCCAUGCACACAUACUGCCUAAUACAUACAUGUAUACAUACAUACAUACACACACACACACAAACAUACUGCCUAGUGCAUGCUUUUUUCUUUGAAUACAUAAUUUAUUGUUGUGAUAAAUUAAUUUAAUGCAUUUGGUAGGAUUUAAUUCAUAAAAAUGAAUUUAAUUUCUGCUACAGUGAACUUGUAUGAUAGACUCAUGUUAUGUAAAACAUUUUUUUAGUAGAAUAUGAUAUAUAUUAUGAAUAUAAUUUAAUAUAUAAGGACUAUUUACAUGGUGACACACACAUACUCACUGACAUACACACAAAAUGUCACUUACACACUAAAACAGACAGGGGCGGACUGACCACUCGGGCACUUCGGUCAUGGACCGAGGGCCAGAGGCAGUCAGGGGCCCAGCAGCACAGCCUUGUUCCAGCUGGAGAGAUCAGAGAUCUCUCCAGCUGGAACGGAAAAAUAAUAAAAUAAAACUUUUUAAUUGAUAGGUUGUGGGGCCCCUGAUGCAGCGCGGGGCCCCACAACCUACCGCUCUGCACAUCCCCCCCCCCCACCAUGAGACCUGGCAGCUUCACCUCCUCCCUGCCAGGUCUCCUGCUUCCUCUCCCAUGCGGCUCUGUGUGAUGGGAGAGGCGGGGCCAGGAAGUGACAUCACUUCCUGUUUACUCCUCUCACACAGAGCCCAGCAUGGAGAAGGAGCAGCAGGCGGGGAGAGAAGAGGGAGCAGAGAUGCAGGUAGGCACCAACCACCCCCUUCCCCCCCCCUCACUAUCACCAGUCACCCCCCUCACUGUCACCAGUCACCCCCCCACUGUCACUAGUCACCCCCCACUGUCACUAGUCACCCCCCCACUCUGUCACCCCCUCACUGUCACUAGUCACCCCCCCACUGUCACUAGUCAUCCCCCCUCACUGUCACUAGUCACCCCCACUGUCACUAGUCACCCCCACUCUGUCACCCCCACUGUCACUAGUCAUCCUCACUGUCACUAGUCACUUCCCCACUGUCACCAGUCACCCCCACUGUCACUUCAGUCAUCCUCUCACUGUCACAGUCAUCCCCUCAUCGUCACUAGCUCUACUGUCACUAGUCACCCCCCUUCCGUCACUUCAGUCACCCCCACUGUCACUAGUCACUCUCACUGUCACUAGUCACCCCCACUGUCACCAGUCACCCCCACUGUCACUAGUCACUCCCCACUGUCACUAGUCACUCCCUACUGUCACCAGUCACCCCCCCACUGUCACUAGUCACCCCCCUCACUGUCACUAGUCACCCCCCUCUCUGUCACUAGUCACCCCCCUCUCUGUCACUAGUCACCCUCUCCCUCACUCUGUCACUAGUCACCCUCUCCCUCACUCUGCCACUAGAGUGAGGGGAUGACUGGUGACAGAGUGAGGGGAUGACUGGUGACAGAGUGAGUUAGGGGGUGACUAGUGACAGAGUAAGGGAGAGGGAGGUGACUAGUGACAGAAGGAGGGAUGGAGUAGUGACAGAGGGAGGUGGUGACUAAUGACAGUCACCACCUCCCUCACUCUGUCACUAGUCACCCCUUCCCUCACUCUGUCACUAGUCACCCCCUCACUCUAGUGACAGUGAGGGAGGGUGUGACUAGUGACAGAGUGAGGGAGGGAAGUGGUGACUAGUUGACAGCGUUAGGGAGGGAAGGGGUGACUAGUGACAGAGUGAGGAAGGGGGUGACUAGUGACAGACGGAGGGGUGACUAGGGACAGAGUGAGGGAGGUGGUGACUAGUGACAGUCACCACCUCCCUCACUCUGUCACUAGUCACCACCUCCCUCACUGUGUCACCCCCUCCCUCUGUCACUGGUCACCCACUCCCUCCCUCACUCUGUCACUGGUCACCCACUCCCUCCCUCACUCUGUCACUAGUCACCCCUUCCUUCCCUCUGUCACUAGUCACCCCUUCCCUCACUCUGUCACCUGUCACCCCCCUCACUCUGUCACUAGUCACCCCCCUCACUCUGUCACUAGUCACCCCCCUCACUCUGUCACUAGUCACCCCCUCACUCUAGUGAAAGAGUGAGGGAGGGUGUGACUAGUGACAGAGAGAGGGAGGGUGUGACUAGUGACAGAGAGAGGGAGGGGGUGACUAGUGACAGAGAGAGGGAGGGGGUGACUAGUGACAGUGAGGGAGGGGGUGACUAGGGACAGAGUGAGGGAGGGUGUCACUAGUGACAAAGAGAGGAAGGGGGUGACUAGUGACAGUCACCACCUCCUUCACUCUGUCACUGUGUCACCCCCUUCCUCACUCUGUCACUAGUCACCCUCUCUCUCACUCUGUCACUAGUCACCCCCUCCCUCACUCUGUCACUAGAUUUAGGGGGUGACUAGUGACAGAGUGAGGGGGUGACAGAGUGAGGGAAGGGGAUGACUGGUGACAGAGUGAGGGAGGGGAUGACUGGUGACAGAGUGAGGGAGGGGGUGACUAGUGACAGAAGAAGGGAGGGAGUAGUGACAGAAGGAGGGAGGGAGUAGUGACAGAAGGAGGGAGGGAGUAGUGACAGAGGGAGGUGGUGACUAGUAACAGUCACCACCUCCCUCACUCUGUCACUAGUCACCCCUUCCUUCCCUCACUCUGCCACUAGUCACCCCUUCCCUCACUCUGUCACUAGUAACCCCCUCACACUAGUGACAGAGUGAGGGAGUGACAGAGAGAGGGAAGGGGGUGACUAGUGACAGAGUGAGGGAGGGGGUGACUGGCACUAGUCACCCCAUCCCUCUCUCUGUCACUAAUCACUCCCUCCUAACUCUGUCACUGUGUCACCCCCUCCCUCACUCUGUCACUAAUCACCCCUCUGUACUUAGUGACAGAGUGAGAGAGGGGGUGACUAGUGACAGAGUGAGGAAGGGGGUGACUAGUGACAUAGUGAGAGAGGGGGUGACUAGUGACAUAGUGAGAGAGGGGGUGACUAGUGAAAGAGAGAGGGAGGGGGUGACUAGUGACAGAGAGAGGGAGGGGGUGACUAGUGACAGUCACCACCUCCUUCACUCUGUCACUAGUCACCCCUUCCCUCACUCUGCCACUGGUCACCCCUUCCCUCACUCUGUCACUAGUCACCCCCUCACUCUAGUGACAGAGUGAGGGAGUGACAGGUGACAGAGUGAGUGACUAGUGACAGAGUGAGGGAAGGGGUGACUGUCACUAGUCACCCCAUCCCUCUGUCACUAGUCACUCCCUCCUAACUCUUCACUGUGUCACCUGCUCCCUCACUCUGUCACUAGUCACCCCCUCCCUCACUCUGUCACUAAUCACCCCCUCUGUCCUUAGUGACAGAGUGAGAGAGGGGGUGACUAGUGACAGAGUGAGGGAAGGGGUGACUGUCACUAGUCACCCCAUCCCUCUGUCACUAGUCACCCCCUCCUAACUCUGUCACUGUGUCACCUGCUCCCUCACUCUGUCACUAGUCACCCCCUCCCUCACUCUGUCACUAAUCACCCCCUCUGUCCUUAGUGACAGAGUGAGAGAGGGGGUGACUAGUGACAGAGUGAAGAAGGGGGUGACAUAGUGAGGGAGGGGGUGACUAGUGACAUAGUGAGAGAGGGGGUGACUAGUGACAGAGUGAGAGAGGGGGUGACACAGUGACAGAGUUAGGGAGGGAGUGACUAGUGACAGAGAGAGGGAUGGGGUGACUAGUGACAGUCACCCCCUCUCUCACUCUGUCACUAGUCACCCCCUCUCUCACUCUGUCACUAGUCACACCCUCUCUCACUCUGCCACUGUGUACUUAGUGACAGAGUGAGAGAGGGGGUGACUAGUGACAGAGNNNNNNNNNNNNNNNNNNNNNNNNNNNNNNNNNNNNNNNNNNNNNNNNNNNNNNNNNNNNNNNNNNNNNNNNNNNNNNNNNNNNNNNNNNNNNNNNNNNNAUAUUUUUUAUAACAAUAAUUAUAUAUAUAUUUAAUCAGUAUCAGUCUACGUGUAGUUUGAUAUUAAUAUAUAUAUAUAAUUAUAUAUAUAUUAAUAGUAAAAUACACCUAGACGGUGUACGUGUGUGUAUGUAUAUGUGUAUAUAUAUACUUAGAUCAUAUAUAUAUACUAUUUAUUUUAUUCAUUUUUAUUUUCAGCCAGCAGGGGGACCACCUGUCAUUACAGGCAGCCCCCCUGCUGGCAAUGCUGCAGUCAGCUACCCCCGGCCAUGUGAUUGUGGGGUCCUCGCAAGGACCCCACUCUCACAUGGCCGGGGGGCUUCCAGGAGGACGGAGGUGCCGCGGGGGGCUCCCUGGGAGUCCCCCGAACCGCGAUCGCCGGUGUGGGAUCGCCGGCGGCCGGGUAAGUAGGAAAAGAACGGAGGGCGUACUAUUACGCCCGGCGGUGUUUAGAGCCACUUAGAAUAGGGCGUAAUAGUACGCCCUCCGGUCUUAAGGGGUUAAAGGGAAACCUGUUAUAUUUAUGUUUUCAUUUGCUGCUGCCUCAUAUGUAAACUUACAAAUAAAGUGCAUUAAAAGACUGUGCAUGUUUUUGCCCUAGAGGACCGUGCUACUUGCUGACAAGGAUCACAGUAGGUAUAGGUAUAGGUAUUGUUAAAUGCAAUGAUACCUUUUUUAUUGCACUAACAUAAUAUUUCAAAGACAAGCUUUCGAGAGUUGUCCUCUCUUCCUCAGGACUGAAGCAAUAGACCUAUACAAUUUAGUUUUAUUUCUUUCGAGAUGCCUUUUAUGCUUUUUUAAUUCCGAACUCUACGAGUUGCACGUUGUGUGUUUUUCUGAGCUAAUUAUUUGUGGCUUAAUUUGCCAUGAUGCUCAUUUUUUAUCAGUAUUUUUUUGUCUGGUUAGUGAGUUUACAUGGCCAGUGUGUGCUAGCUCAGUGGGCUCAGUGUAAAAUUAUUAAGGAUGUUGUAGUCCAAUAACAGUUUAACCCCUUAAGGACACAUGACACGUGUGACAUGUCAUGAUUCCCUUUUAUUCCAGAGGUUUGGUCCUUAAGGGGUUAAUGGCCAUUGUUGUACAUCCAACUCUAGAAAAUGGCAAAGAUUAUGAUUUUCCAGAUAAGCCUAUUAAUGCAUGAUUUUGUUAAGUCUGGCACUCAAGAGGAACAUUUCCUGAAUGAAAAUAAUUUGCUAAUGUAACUGUAGUUGUUUAGAAUGUAUUGUACUCUGUCUACUCUGUUUUUACAGAGGUUUUCCGCAGUGGUGCUUGGCAAGUCAUAAUUGCGUGAGAAUAAUUGGAAUCUUUCUCAGGCUGAAAGUGAUGUCAUGAAAGGGUUAUAUUAACGUGUGCUUUGUUGUUGAAAGCAGUAUCCAAUUAUGACACUCCUAUUUGUGGUCAGAUAUUUGUUUUAUUGAUAUUUUUCAGCAUGAUAAAGGUUGCUUGUCUGCCAACAUGUUGGUCCUUUUGAAAUAAUUUCUAAUAAAUAUCCAACUUGAAUUAACGUGUUAUUUAGAUUGCGUUGGCAUCAGUUAAAAUGUCCUUUCUUAUCCAAGAGCUCUCCAUUAGCUUUUUGUUCUUUUCCUUGAUUAUGGGUUUACCAAUCUUCUUAUUUUUGUGAGUUUAUAUUGCUGAAUGCGUGUAUAUGUGACUGCUCCAAAUUGUCAGAUUGCCAAAUCUGUGAUGUAAUUCGAAAUAUAAGGUAUCUGCAGUUUAAAGCAUACAGUUAAAUGCUAUCCCCAUCAGUUAAAUUACUAUAUUCUAAGGUAGCUGUCAUGAACCUGAAAUACAAUACAUCAUCAAAUGUAAACAAUCAAAUAACUGUGAACAGAAUUGUACAAACAGUGAAUUACAGUCUCAAUUAUCCUAAUUGCCUUGAGUUGUUCUCCAUCUAAAUUAAUAGGUAGCUUUGCUUAAUUAUAACAAUGAGGCUGGGUGCUUCAAUGUAGUCUUUAAACAAAAUGCCUAAAGAAGUGGUACUUUAACAUGCAAUAAUUAUAUUUAGCGAAUUUCCACUUGUGUUGUGUUUGUUAUUGUCUUACAGUGUUGAACUUUUCAUUUUCCCCUUUUUUAUUGUUUGUUUUUGUUUUGCUGUUUUCUUCUUUUCUUUUUCUUUCUUUUUUUAUUGCUUCUUGUUCCUAUUUUGAAAGCAUAACAUAUUCGCUAGUGGAAUCUUUAUUAUUCAUGGACCAAAUGGCAGAAAAUAAUUCACAUACCAUGUGAGGGAAAACACAUAGAGACUUUUAUGCUAUCCUUAGAAUACUUGGACUACAUCUACUGCAGUUUUAAGAAGUUUUACUUUUGAUAUAAAAACACAUGUUUUUUUUCUUACAUUGGAGACCUCUGGUCUUUGUAUUGUCUGUGCAUAAAUGUUACAUUGUAUAUCAUGUGUGGCAGUAUAGAAAUCUUAUGUUUGUGGACAUAAAAAUAGGAAUUAGAUGACUAAGGGCAGCUUUAAUGUAACAUAGACAGUUUUUUACACUCCUUGUAAAAAUGUUAUCACAUUUUAUCACAUUUCUAUCACAGAUACUCUGUUCUUUAUGUUGAAUAUCUUGUCUGGAUCAGAAUUCACUAAAACCACUGAAAGCUUCUAGAUCACACAAUCUUCACUCGUAGUGCUCACACUAGAUCAGGCUUCCCCAAGCCCUGGCCCUCCAGAUGUUUCUGAACUACAACUCCCAUGAUUCUCAUCUUAUCUAUUUCAUUCAUAGAAUCAUGGUAAUUGUAGUUCAGCCACAUCUGGAGGGCCAGAGUUUGAGGAAGCCUGCACUAGAUGAAUAGGAGGGUAUGUGGCCUGAGAGAUUCUGUCACACAACACUCGUUUCAAUGUCACCAUCCAUCAAUUAGCCACCGUAUGCCAACCAAUAUUAAAAUUAGUGAUUUCUUCCUCUGCUUUUUCUCAGCUAUUUUUGGCAGUUCUUGAGUUAACUUGGCAUCGCAAAAAAAAAAUUCAGUGCAAUGACUUCCUAAAGAAGGCUGACAAGCCAGACAUUUCAUACACAUAGACUACUCUGAUGAAGACAAGUAUGGGAAUCAUUGUUACCAGAGUUUGCUUGCAGUGUAUAGUCUCUAUUAUCAGACAUAAUGGGAGAGAAGUUUCAGUGUCAUGUUCUAGAAUGCGGUGCAACGUUCUAAACGUGAAAUAACCAAUAGAUGUGUGCCUGCUGGUUCCACUGGUUUCCAUGGUUACUGAAUCUUUUUUAGAACUUUGCACCAUUUUUCAGGACAUAACACUCCCCUAACUCUAUAAUAAACCUUAACUCCCCUAACUAUAUAAUAAAGGUAAUUGUUACAGGAAUAGUGUCUGAUAGUAAAAAAUGAGCGAUCACUGCAUAGUACUAAUAAACUGGUAAACCGGGUGAUAAACAGCUCGAUUUCUCAUUAGGCAUAUUGGUCAGUUACAGUUAACCACUUCAUACAUAUAAACUAGAUCACACAUUUAAUUCACCCUUUUCCAUGGUUGCAGGAUCCUGCUACAUUGUUAUUUAAAUCAUAAAUAUUCUUAAAUGAACAAUGUCUGAAGUUUCACUGCCUAUUCUAUUCUAAUAUUUUCAGUUUACUUAAUUUAUUUAUUUUCUGUGUGUAGCAAAUAAUGUCUUUAUACAUAUAUAUAGUAAUAAUAUAUAUAUAAUUGUGUUUGUAUUUUUUUUUUCUGCUCCUCUUCGUCCCUCUAUUGGUUGUUUUUUUCUCACUUGAUCUGUCAACCAAAUGGUGGGAAAAUGUACCUAUCAGUUUAUUGCAAAAUAUAGACAUAAUAUUUAUAUAUUGGCCUAUUUUCAUGCCCUUUUUGGCUAAUACAAAUCAUUUUCCCAAACCUUUUUACGGACGAUGCUCAGAAUACUCAAACUGCUACAUGAACGAGUGUAGUGGUCCCAAAUAAAUGCAGUUAUCAGAAAAAAAUGGUUAAUUUGAACACAAUUUUUUUUGCCAUACACAAUUCUACUUAAUAGACAUUUUACAAUCACUUCUAACACACCAUGCAGCUAAAGUACAGUUACAUUGUGAUAUAUCAAAUCGAAUAUGCAAUGGUAUCUACUUAAAAGGUUUAUAUAAUAUAUGUAAAUCAUCAAGAAAACCAUAUAAACUGUGCAUUUAUUUUACUAUCAUAUUGUGCAUUAAAUAAGACUAAAUGUAUUAUAGUAGAGUUGGAUUGUUGAGUAAAAGCAAAGGUUAAAAAAAAAAAUGAAAAGUAAGAAUAAAUUACACUCAAGUUUAUGACUAAUUAUUAUGACCCACUACCAAAUAAGCCAAUAAGCGUAUAUUAAUGUAUUAAAGGCAAUUGCAAGUUUAAUAUACUGGAAGCAGGCCCGGACUGGCGAUCGUUCAUACAGGGCAAAUGCUCAGUGGGCCGCGAUGGCCAUGGGCCUAAGCCGGCAGGGGAGAUAGUACCAACCCUGCUGUGUGCCUUCAUGGGCCAGUGGGGAGAUCAAAGAUCUCUCUCACCAUCCCACAGGCAGUUACAAGUGACCACCGGCUGGGGAGGGAGGGAGAGGAGGAACCAGUGGAGCUCUUACCUGCAGUUCCGCCAAGUUCCUCUGGCGAGGUCGGAGUGUUGCCGCGGUUACCACAGCAAAGCUCAGAUCUCGUAAGAGUGAACUCUAGCCUUGCAGGCUAGAGCUCAUUUACCACUAGGACCACCAGGGAUGGCAGCACAGUCCCCACUCCCAGGCUAAAUGUAAGAAGGGAGGGGGGGGAUAUAAAGUUUUGUAGAUUUAAAUAUAUUUAAAUCUACCCCCCCACAAACACACAAUCGCAAACAUAGUCACACACAUUACUCACACACACACACACACACACUCACUCACACUAACAGAACCCUCACACACACAGUACCCUCAGACACACACAGCACCCUCACACUAACCGCACCCUCAGACACACACACAGCACCCUCAGACACACACACAGCACCUUCAGACACACACAGCACCCUCACACACAGCACCCAGACACACACAGCACCCUCACACACAUCACCCACACACACACAGCACUCUCACACACACAGCACUCUCACACAGCACCCUCGCACACACAACUCCCUCAUACACACAGCACCCUCACACACACACAGCACCUUCAGACACACACAGCACUCUCAGACCCACACAGGACCCUCAUACACACAGCACCCUCAGACACACAGCAACCUCACACACACAGCACCCUCAGACACACACAUCACCCUAACACACACAUAUAUAAUAUAUAAAAUAACCCUAAGGUAAUUAACAGACAAAGAAAAUUAGAAACAAAGAAAGUGACAGCAGAUAAGAACACUCUCAUACACACAGCACCCCUCUUACACACACACACUGCACCCCUCUUACACACAAAUAUGCUGCACCCUUCACUCCUAAACACAGCACAUCCAACACACCGCGCCCCGGGCUGAAUUUUUUUUCCCAGUCCGGUGCUGAUUGGAAGUAUUCUAUAGAAGAAUGCUUAUUUCAUUGGAAAUAUUAAGUAUUUUUCAGGUGUGUCAGAAUGUAUAUUUAACCUCUUAACUAUUACUAUGAAUUUAUUAGAAUUAUCAAUUCAUUUUCCAGAUGAUUUCAAACAACUUGUGUUACUAACUUCAGUAACUAAUGUUAUCUUUUUAUGUAUUAUGCAUAGUUUGUAAAUUAAUUUAUCAUAACAGAAAACCAUUUUAAUCCAUGAAACAGCUGUGUGCACAGGCUGCUUUCAGUACUCUUUAUGAAUUCUAAAGUAGCUCUUAUUCAAAGCAAUAUCUGCAUUUGGCAGAUACAAUUAAAUAUGGUCCCAAGAAUACAGUCAUUAGUUAAAAAUUCACUUAUACUUGAUAGUAAUUCUUUCUGUGUAAUAGAAGAGCAGACACCACAUAUUUUUAUAAAGAAAAAAAUGCUGAUGACAGAAAAUGUGAAUUGUUAUUUUCUAAACCAAGUUCUAUUUUUCCCAUGUAAAAGCACUCUGUUACCAAGUGACAGAAAUGUGAUUUCUAGAUCUAAAAUACAUUGAAUUAAAACAUUUAAGAAUGUAAAUAGGGCUUUAUUUUUUUAUAUAUUUUUUUUUUAUCAAUGCCUAUAAAAAUCUCAGAAAAUGCAGAUAUGUAUAGGUUGUAUAAAUGUUCACUGUACAUAUAGUUACAUAUCGGAAAAGCUAAAUGUGUCUAUCAAGUUCAGCCUUUCUCACAUUUGUUUUUGCAGUUGAUCCAUAAGAAGGCUAAAACCCUAUUUGCAGCGCUUCCAAUUUUGCAACAAACUAGGGGAAAAAUCUCUCUUGACCCCAGAAUGGCAGUUAGAUAUCUAAUUGGAUGAACAAUCUAUUUCAGUUUAUUUUCUAACAUUUCUGUUUAAUGCCAAAAAUUUGGUUUGGGAACAAAAUCGGGGUCCCAGACCUUUGAUGGAUGCUGUCCAAAAGUCCAAUAACCACUCUUUGGUUUAUUUUUAUUUGUUUUUCACUUUUUAUUCUUUUUUAUUCUUUUUUUGUAUGUAUAAUUUUUCUAUAUUGGUUUGUCCCUUUUUAUAUUUUUAUAUAUUUUGUUCCCUGGACACAUUAUCAUGGUUUUCUCUAUUUUCUAUAUUUAUGUACAUUUUACCAUGUCACCUAUCUCCUAUAUAUCAUACUUGUAUUACUUUCCUGGCUAUAUGCGUUUCAGGGUGAAACACUGAACUUUAUAAUAUGCAUUUAGAAAGACUUCAACUACAUACGUUUAGCGUGAGACGAACACCUCCCUCAAUAUCCAUGCACAUAUGGAGGUGGAAUCGAAAAACAUAGUCAGAAGAAGGAUGUGAGUUCCACCAUGGAACACAUGUGGCACAUUGAGGAAGAAUUAACAGAGAAUGGUGGGGGGAGGACCCCAAUUAAGCCUAGCGUACAAAAUUAGGAGCAACUUCCCAGAUGGACAUAUCCCUGAAGAAGUCUAUUCGAGAUUAAAUGGCUUGUUGAAUCGGUGUAGACCAUGAAAAAACAUGAAGCGUUCUUACUCAAAGCUAUAUGGCACUUUCCCCUGAAGUGCAGCCAUUAUAUGUUGCUCUUCAAGAAUGCAAAAUAACAUCUUGAGAGGCAGCAGUAGGUGCCCAAACAGAUUGGGCAAUUCGAUUGGCUCCAUCGAAGCUUAGGUGUUUGGCUUGAUUUGUGGACCUUGUCUUGGCCCUGAGGUGUCAAAUAAAAUGUGGAAGUUCCUUCAGAGUCUGACUCCUUUGGUCAAAGGAAGUCAGGCGUAGGAAAAAUACAUAAGACAAAGUAGUCCUUACUUUAUCUUUUGUUUCUUAUUGUUUCCUCUUCUCCUCCUCUCUCAAAAAAGAGGAAAUAAUAGGAGAAAGGUACGUUCGGCAUGACAUUGCCACAUUAAUAGUUGUCCAUUUGUUUUUUUCUUUAAAUGCAUCUCCUUUUUUUCUCAAAAUACACCUUUGGUGAUUGUGACCAUACAGCCUAAUAUUGCACAUGGGUAUUCUUUUUACAUAACCUGUACCACUAAACUGUUCCAAUAAAUGCUAGGACUCAUCUUUGAUUGCAUAUGCAGGAUAUACUGCACUGGUAUCUGGUUACUAUAUGACCUUCUAUUCAUCUAGUUCUCUGGCAAUAUUCUUAUUAGUAAUUAUUCUAUAGAGGACAAUGAAUAGCCAUAACUUGUGAGACCUCAAGGAAGUGACAACCUCUUCUUUCUUGGCAACUCAAAAUUACUCAGACUCCGUUUAUUGUAUAAGGAGCCAGCUUGCAAAGAUCACGGCAUACAGUAAAAAAACAUUGUACUGACAAUUUCACCAGUGGGAAUACAGAAUAGGGCAAAUAGAACACACAGGAAAGAACUGGCUACAAAGUGAUUCAUUACACUAGUUCUUUCCCCCAUUUGCAAGCCCACUCUGACAAUAAAUGAUAAUCUUGAUUGUACCCACUGUCUCUUCAGAGCAAUCUCUGGUUACAUCAAUACAGCCCUUUGCUGUAGUAGGUAACAUGUAGACUUGCUGGCUCCAACAGCAGGUGGUCCCUCACAGUACAGCAUUUAACUUGAUUAACCCACAAAAUACAUUUCACAACUGACUAUACCUUUUGCCAGCAAAGAGAGCUGUGGUCCCUCCUCCUCUGUUAACCCUCUGAUCCAUAUUGUCAUACCUCGGUAUGCUGCACAACACAUGCGGCUUCCAGGGUGUGCCACAUAGCAGCCUUGAAGUCUCCAGUCCCACGCCAUCCCGGCCACAGUGAACGUCGUGUGGAGUUCGGUUACUCCUCGUGUAGAGCAGCCCCUACGCGAUCUGUCUUCUGUCAAGGCUUCCAGAUCAUUAUGGCAGCCUUGCGCCACGUACAGGAGUCCUCGGAAAUUACAGGACCCUGUAGUUGCAGUCUUUUUAUAGCAUUAAAGUGACAGGUCAUAUUAUUGGGACAUAUCAUCAGCCCAUCACAAGUCAUACCCCUUUGUGUGUGCAGAGUGAUGAUGCUAUCCAAUAAGAUUUUUGUUCUCCCUAUUUAAACUUGCCUCUUUCUGGAGAUCACUGCCCUGUCGUGGUUUAUACUGCCCAAGAGUGCUUACAGAAUCUUCAACUGUCCAAGAUUUUGCUAAGAGUUUUCUUUUUUACUGUUACAGGUAAGAUGAAUCUAUAGGAAAAGGUUGCUAAUUGCACAGGGUUUGAUUUCCUGUUGGUAACUGGUAAGGCAUUUGAUUUGAUUAGCUAGGUACUUGCUAUUGAUUGUUGGUUAAUUAGCUAUUGUUUGCAAAUAAGCAUAGGCCUACCCAUGUGUUAAAAAUGCCUAGUGGGUGGUGCUUUUAGGAGUUAUAUAAGGGUUGUGGUCAUUAGCUUGGCUAAUAUAGCUUGGUUGCUACAGCUAAGUGCUGCUUCUAAGUGUGUGAUUGGAGAGAUUCUGGAGGUAAUCUGAGGUAUACAAGAGGGGGAGGAGUUAAGAUUUGUUUAAUUUAAAUUAUUCACCUUAUUAAAAUGACAGACUUAGUUCAGUGUAAUAGAGGUUUGGAUGUUUUCUAAUCUGUAGACAAUUCUCUAUAUUGCUGCAGGAGAUUGUAUUUUUGAAGUCUGAGAUUUGUAAAUUAUCUGGUAAACAAACUCAGGCUGGAACUGCUGCAAAGGCACUGCCGCAGAGACAUACUAGGAAUUUCAGAUUGAUUACUGUAGGAUCUGGUAGAUGUAGAGUUGUGGAUAAAAGGUAUAUUGCACAGUCUGUUGCUCUACAUUAUUAAUUUUCAGCACUUUCAGAGUGUAAUGUUGUUAUGGAGACAGGCUCAGGCACUGAGGCUAGUGGUGUUGUGGAGACAGGCUCAGACACUGAGGCUAGUGGUGUUGUGGAGACAUUCUCAGGCACCGAGUGUAGUGGUGUUGUGGAGACAGGCUUGGAGACUAUGGUGAGGCCUAAUAGGAAGCAGUUGUUGCUGGGGGAUUCUAUCAUAAGAGGUGUGGAGCUGGACAAUAGUGGUGCUGUGCGAUAUCUUCCCGUAGCUACUACUCACAGAGACAGGAGACGUAUUUGUAAUAUUGUUAAGCAAGCAAAGCAGGAAGGGGAAUUGGAUGUACUUGUCCAUCUAGGGGCAAAUGACUUGGCUUGCAAUGAGGUUUCAGGGGUAAAAUGAGUUUUUAGUGUUAUUGCCAAUGAUAUACGGCAGGUCGCUUCCACACUGUCAUUCUCUGAAGUUCUGCCUGUGUGUCAGGUUAUACCUGCCGUGCCUUUGCCGAACUAACCCACUUCCGGGUUCACGGAGCUUCGCCCCGCCCCUUUUUCUGACGCGGUCUUUCCACGCUACAUAGGAAGACCGCGCCAGAUUCAAAGGGCUGGAUUAUUGUACAGGUGUCUGUGAAACACUUACCAGCUGCUCUUUUUGAUCUAACCGUGUACCGAAAAUCGCUCUGGAACGACUAACCUCCUUCUCCACUCCUCGACCUCGGCUUGUUAAACGGACUUCAAUUCCUCUCUUCAACUACUUGAUUAAAUUAAGCUCUCCAGUUCCAGAACUGCCUCUUAAGCUAAGUACUGUUUUCUUCAAUCAAGUUACUCUCAGUUACUAAUAAGAAACUGCUUCUAAGGCUCAAUUCUGUUUCCUUCAAUCAAGUUACUCUCAGUUACUAAUAAGAAACUGCAUCUAAGGCUCAAUUCUGUUUCCUUCAAUCAAGUUACUCUCAGUUACUAAUAAGAACUGUUUCUAAGGCUAAAUACUACUUCCUUCAAUCAAUUUAUUCCUAGUUGCAAACUCUGUCUUGCCUCAUUGAUAAAUUUGCUUGUAGUUAUUAUACAACAUUUAAUUCAACCUAACUCUGCAUGCAUUCUCUGCACUAUUCUUAAUUGGGACUGUUUGGCUCUGUGCAAAUCUUCAGUGGCUUAUUUUUUCCCUGCAAUUAACAACCUGCUUGAGGGUUUAAAGCUACAGUAUUCUCUCCUCCACAUCAGAAACAAAAAUAGGUAAAACUAUCAAUUUCUGUAAUUAAAAAUUCUGCAGUUGCGUUCCAAAUAAGUUAGUAUUACAGAAUAAUCCAGCCGUCAUCCAAUGGAACCAGCAGAUAUUAAUUCACAAGUCUCUGCCCUGACAAACAGAGUGGAUACAAUUGCUCAGGGUUUACAAGAAUUGCAGAUUACAAAUGAGAGAAUAUUAACUUAUGUCAGAGACAUACAAGGUCAUCUUCCUCAUGCCGCUCUUCAAUCGGCUAGCGAUCCUGCUGUCUGCAAUCCAGAAAAAUUUUAUGGAGAUAGAUCAAAGUACAGAGAGUUUUUGAAUUCUUGCAAACUUCUAAUAGCUUUAAGACCCAGAUCUUAUCUCACUGAAAGAUCUAAGGUCUGUUCUGUGAUCUCUUUUUUAAGAGGUGAACCUAUGGCCUGGGCACAUUCCUUUCUAGAGAAUGAUGAUCCCAUAUUAGAUUCAUUGGACGAGUUCUUUGAAACUAUGUCUUUAUUAUAUGAAGAUGCUUAUAAACAAACUACUGCAGAUUUAACCAUCAGAACUCUACACCAAAAGAAUAGACCUGUUGAAGUUUAUAUUGCAGAAUUUAAAAGAUGGGCUACAGAAACCCAAUGGAACGACAUUACCUUACGCAAUCAGUUCCGUCUCGGAUUAUCCGAAGCUGUGAAAGAUGAACUCUCCCGUACCGAACUUCCUCCUACUUUAAACGCAUUGAUUCAACUUUCCAUUAGUAUUGAUAGGCGUCUAAGAGAAAGAAGGGCUGAAAAAGUUCUUACCAAUUCUACUUGGAGAAAACCCUUCACUCCUCCAAAAUUGCCUGAAAAAACUCCUUCUCAUACUGAACCUAUGGAAGUAGGUAUAAUAAGAAGUCCUCUUACUUCUGAAUAAAGAACAAGAAGGAGACAACUAAACCUAUGUAUGUAUUGUGCCUCAAAAGAACAUCUAAUUCCCGAAUGUCCUCUACUGAAACAUUCAAAAGGUGGUAGGCAUCAUUCAUCUACUUCUAUAUUGAACGUCCUACCAAAAAAACCAUCUACUUAUUUUUCUAUAUCUCUCAUAUUACAGUGGGACACAAAAACUGAGGCCAUAAUUGAUUCUGGCGCUAAUGGAGCCUUCCUUGAUUUUUCCUUUGUUACAAAAAAUAAAAUCCCUUGUGUUCGUAAAACUAAUUUUGUUCCAGUCAGAGUUAUUGAUGGUUCAUUUAUAUCCUCAGGACCCAUAAAAAAUGAGACAAUUCCUCUAAGAAUGAUUACCAACAACGUUCAUUCUGAAUUCCUUAUCUUUGAUGUUAUUAAAUCUCCACUUUAUCCAGUCAUUCUAGGGAUUAAUUGGUUAAAAAUCCAUAAUCCGCUAAUUAAAUGGUCCCUUUUCACCAUUUCUUUUUCCUCUGAUUUCUGUAAAAGAACAUGCUUACAACAUAUUCCCAUUCUCCAAAUUACUAAAGAACCAGUUAUACCUCCAUUCUACUCCGAUUUCGCAGAUGUCUUUUGUUAAAAAGAAGCUGAGACACUUCCACCUCAUCGGGUAUAUGACUGCCCAAUAGAUCUCAUACCAGGAGCUCCUAUUCCUUAUGGCCAUAUUUAUCCACUAUCUGAAAAAGAAUUAGAAACCUUAAAAGAAUACCUCAAUGAUAAUCUACGCAAAGGGUUCAUCAGACCUUCGACCUCCCCAGCUGCUUCUAGUAUUUUCUCUGUGAGAAAUAAGGACCAAACCAUUCGACCCAUUAUAGAUUACAGAGCCUUAAACAAAAUAACGAUUAAAAAUCGUUAUCCUCUUCCUCUAAUAAAUGAAUUAAUUGAAAGGUUGAGAACCGCAACUAUAUUCACUAAACUAGACCUUCGUGGCGCAUAUAACCUCAUUAGAAUAAAACAGGAUGAUGAAUGGAAGACCGCUUUCCGGACAAGAUAUGGUCUCUACGAAUAUCUUGUGAUGCCUUUUGGGCUCUGUAAUGCCCCCACAACAUUUCAACAUUUUAUAAAUGAUAUCUUUAGAGAUCUAUUGGAUGUAUGUGUUAUUAUCUAUUUAGAUGAUAUCUUAAUAUAUUCCAACAAUCUGGACGAACAUAGGAAGCAUGUAAGGUGGGUUCUAUCUAGAUUGAGAACACACAAAUUAUACGCUAAUAUCAAAAACACGGACACCCGUGAAAAAAGUGUGAAAACACAAAAAAAAAAACAAAAUGAAAAACUUAGCUGAUAGGUACACUGCUUCCCAAGGUUAUCUCCCAGCUGAUAACCAUAUAACAGAACUGUGUAAUUGAUAGGAUAUUUUGGGAGACUGCUAGUAUACCUAUAAUAGAGAACAAAACAUAGUGCAAAUAUUGCUAAAUAUUAUAAAACUUCCAAUAAUUGAAAUGCACUCACAUAUUCCAAAAAGAUAAGCGUAUUAUGGGUGCCUCCCCUCGAUGGAAAUAGGGGGGUUAACUCCUAUUGAUUUUUCCUCCUCAAGUGAUAGCCAAUGGGGUAUCCAGGUCAGCAAGAAGGUCCACAAACAGCAACCACGGGAAUACUUCAAAGGCAAUUUAUUCACUUACAAAAAUUAAGAAGGUAUGCAAAUAAAACAUAAAAACAAUAUAAAAAUAAGAUGCUGGUCCUACGCGUUUCGUCCUUAUACAAAAAGGACUUCCUCAGGGACCAUCUAUUUCAAUAAAAUAUCAAUUGACAAAUACAAAGAGUAAACAGCAUCCUAAAACGCUAACAAUCAAAAAAUCUUAUAUAGGGCUAAUCCCUUCAAGUCAUUGGUGGAAUAGUGGGUGUCUUCUCAUCUUCCAAUUCGUCGAAAUAUCUCACCUUAUUUUGUGAGGGAAAUGAAAUAAAAUCCAAAUGUUUCUUCAAACCAACUGAUGGGAACAGCUAUGUUCAUAAACGUAGUUGUCACCAUCAACCUUGGUUGAAGGGAAUCACCAAGGGACAACUUACUCGAGUAAAGAAGAAAUUGUUCGCACACCAAGGAUUUUCAGAUACAGGCGCAACAUAUAGCCAAUAAAUUAGUUAAAAAAGGCUAUAAUCAAAAACAUAUAAAGAGAGAAAUUCAGGUGAUGUCCAAAAAGAGCAGAAAUGACCUUCUAAUUGACGGUUCUAGUAGUAGGAAAAAAGGGGAAGAUUUUAAACAGGCCUUUUUCACACAAUAUAAUGUGGAUCAUCCAAAAACAAAAAGGAGUUUGCAUAAGUACUGGCCAAUACUGCUGGGGGAUCCCAUUUUGGGAGAACAUCUAUCCAAAAGGCCAAAGAUUAUUUUUAGGAAAAAACAAAAUCUUAAGAACCUAUUAGCACCAAGUUAUGCCUUAAAAAAUGGAUUUAAAAAUACUAAAAAAUACUAAAAAAGGGCCAAAAGGUUUUAGAGGUUGUAAAAGUUGCAAAGCUUGUUUACAAGUAAAUACGGAUAAAGUUACAUCAUACAGUAGUUUUGUUACAGGGAAACAGUUUUCCAUUAAAUCAGAGAUUGGCUGCCGCUCAGACUGUGUGGUGUAUCUACUUCAGUGCCCAUGCGGCAGCCAAUAUGUUGGCCGUACAAAGAGAUGUUUAAAAGUGAGACUUUUGGAACAUAUUAAUAACAUAAAUAAAAAAUUGGAUACCCAUUCAGUUCCUCUCCAUUGCAACAGUUGCCCAUUUUUCUGUCUGAAGGGUUUGCGUUGUAUAGGGAUAGAGCAAAUUCAACCUCAUUGGAGAGGGGGUAAUAAAGAAAAACGAUUGGCACAAAGGGAAUCAUACUGGAUUCAUAGAUUACGCACCCUUACCCCAAGGGGGUUUAAUGUGGAUAUGGAUAUUGUCUGUUUUUUGAACUAAUUGAGUGAUAAGAUAUCACUAUUUGGAGAAGGGAAAGAAGGAAAAAAAAAAAGUAUUACUUUAUUAGAGAUUGAAGGAAUAUGGAGUGUAUAAUCACUUAUGCCACUUUACACAAUAUGGAUAUGUAAUUGAAUAUAUGAAUAAAUAUUCAAGUCACUUCACACAUUUUGGAUCUGCAAUUUAGAUAUAGUUAUUUAAUUUAUUUUAAUGGUUUAGUUUGUUAUAUUAAUAUAUUAAAAUAUCACUGUCAAUAUAUGAAGUUAUUAAUAAUCAAAUAUCUUUUUGUAAAGUUAUAACAGAUAUUAUGAAUGAUCAGCUUAGAUGGGGAGUUGUUUUCAUUCAUUUUAAUAAUGUUUCGAGUUAGUUAUUUGUUAGAGGACAUUUUAUUAUUGCUAUGAUUUUCUAUAAGACUAUAACAUGAUCUUUAAUAGCUUUUUAUUUUUCAGUUAUUUGUAUAUUACCACCAGGUAUAAGAAAAUUGACUUUUUAGUCUAUUAUGCUAUGGAACGCAUGGCCAUGUUUUUCUUUCGAGCGUGGAACGCAUAAAGGUCAUGUGAUGAACAUUUUACCACGUGACGCACGCGUAACGUAUGACGUACGCGGAAGUGGCUAAAUGUGUUGAACGGACCCAGCAUUUCAUUCCGGUAAAGCGGCUACACCUGGGGAGAAGAAAAUUUCGACGAAUUGGAAGAUGAGAAGACACCCACUAUUCCACCAAUGACUUGAAGGGAUUAGCCCUAUAUAAGAUUUUUUUGAUUGUUAGCGUUUUAGGAUGCUGUUUACUCUUUGUAUUUGUCAAUUGAUAUUUUAUUGAAAUAGAUGGUGCCUGAGGAAGUCCUUUUUGUAUAAGGACGAAACGCGUAGGACCAGCAUCUUAUUUUUAUACUGUUUUUAUGUUUUAUUUGCAUACCUUCUUAAUUUUUGUAAGUGAAUAAAUUGCCUUUGAAGUAUUCCCGUGGUUGCUGUUUGUGGACCUUCUUGCUGACCUGGAUACCCCAUUGGCUAUCACUUGAGGAGGAAAAAUCAAUAGGAGUUAACCCCCCUAUUUCCAUCGAGGGGAGGCACCCAUGAUACGCUUAUCUUUUUGGAAUAUGUGAGUGCAUUUCAAUUAUUGGAUGUUUUAUAAUAUUUAGCAAUAUUUUCACUUUGUUUUGUUCUCUAUUAUAGGUAUACUAGCAGUCUCCCAAAAUAUCCUAUCAAUUACACAAAUUAUACGCUAAACCUGAGAAAUGCCUUUUUGAGGUAACUGAAUUCUCUUUUCUAGGAUAUAUUAUUUCACCUCAUUCCUUGAAGAUGGAUAAUUCCAAAAUUGAGUGUAUUAUUAACUGGCCCACCCCUACUAGUACAAAAGAGUUGCAACGAUUUCUUUGAUUUGCAAAUUUCUAUAGAAAAUUUAUUAGAAAUUACUCAGAUAUAUCUCAUCCACUUAAUCUCCUUAACAGUAGUAAGCGUUCUUUUAAUUGGAAUGAAAAUGCACAAACAGCCUUCAACAAAUUAAAAAGAAGAUUUACAACUGCCCCCAUUCUUCAACUACCUAAUCCAACAUUCUUAAAUGUUCUUGAAGUAGAUGCAUCAGAUACAGCUAUCGGAGCAGUGCUUUCUCAACAAAAAACACCUCAGGAUCCGCUCCAUCCAGUUGCUUUUUUUUCAAGAUCCUUGAGCUCCGCUGAAAAAAAAUUAUCCUAUUGGUGAAAAAGAAUUGUUAAGUGUUAAAGCUGCCUUUGAAAAUUGGCGUCACCUCCUUGAAGAUACAAAACACCCCAUAGUGGUUUAUACAGAUCAUAAAAAUCUUGAAUAUCUCUAUACUAACAAAACCCUCUCAGCUAGACAAGUUAGAUGGAAUCUUUUUUUUAACCGAUUUAACUUCCAAUUGGUAUACAGACCUGGAACUAGAAAUAAAAAGGCAGACGCUCUCUCUAGAAUUCCUCAUAAAACUACUAUUGAUGAUUACCCUCCUAACAAAACAAUUGGAAUUAUUUCUUCUCUAUAUGAUGACAUAAAGAAUUUGAAUCAAAAAGAUCUUGAGCUUCCCAAUACACCUAUGUUAAAAAAAAAGGAUGGCAUAUUUUAUUUUAAAGAUAGAAUUUAUAUUCCUCCCAUAAUUAGGAAUAAAUUACUUAAAAUGGUUCAUGAUUCUCCCCUAGCUGGACAUCCUGGGAUUAAGAAGACUCUUGAAUUAACUUUACGAUAUUAUUGGUGGCCUCGCCAGGAUAAAACUAUUGAAUUAUAUGUCAAGACUUGCCCUAUCUGUCAAAGGUCCAAACCUGAACAUCAUCAACCUUUUGGAUUACUACUUAACUUACCUAUUCCAGAAAAACCUUGGCAAUCCAUAUCUAUGGAUUUUUUAGUGGAUCUCCCACCUUCUCAACAUUUCACCACUAUCCUUGUCGUUGUAGACCGCCUCACUAAAAUGUCCCAUUUCAUCUCUUUAAGAAAAUUGCCCUCCUCAGCAGAAUUGUCUAAAGUCUUUAUAGAUAAUAUUGUAAAGCUUCAUGGACUUCCUGAAGAAAUUAUUUCUGAUAGGGGGACACAAUUUACCUCCAAAUUCUGGAAAGAGAUGUGUCUCUCCCUUCAAAUUCAACGCAAACUCUCAUCCGCCUAUCAUCCCCAAACUAAUGGGCAAACGGAGAGGGUUAAUCAAUGCCUGGAACAGUAUCUGCGAUGUUAUUGUUCAUACCUACAAGAUGACUGGACCACAUGGUUACCUAUGGCUGAAUUUUCUUAUAACAAUACUAUUCACUCCAGUACAAAAAUGACUCCCUUCUUCUCGAACUAUGGUUUCCAUCCAUCUUCAUUUCCCAUCCAAACCAUUGCUUCAUCCAAUCCUACUGUUUCAUCUAGAAGCGAUUUUAUGUCUUCCCUAUUUCUCAAAUUACGGGAGAAUCUUCAACUCGCCCUAAAUAACCAGAAAAAGUUUUUUGACAAUAAAAGAAAAACACCUCCUAAUUACAAAAUAGGAGAUCUUGUCUGGCUCUCCUCGAGGAAUAUUACCACCAACCGCCCCUCAAAAAAAUUGAGCUUUCUUUUUCUUGGUCCUUUUCAAGUAAUUGCAGUAAUUAAUGAUAACGUUGUUAAACUAAAACUUCCUCCAAGUUUCAAACUUCAUCCAGUAUUCCAUGUCUCCUUGCUUAAACCACACAUCCCCGAUCCUUUCAAUAGGGAAGUGGUUACAUCUCCUGAACCUGUCAUUGUCCACGGUGAAGAGGAAUAUGAAAUACAUAAAAUUUUGGAUUCACGUGUCCACCGUGGCUCCCUACAAUACCUAUUAGAUGGAAAGGUUAUGGAGUUGAUGAAGACACUUGGGAAGAUUCAUCUGAUGUUCAUGCAAAAAGAUUAGUUGCUGCAUUCCACAGGCGCUAUCCCUCCAAACCAAAAUGAAGUGUACCCAGUGGGUGCCCCAUGGGAAGGGGGUACUGUCAGGUUAUACCUGCCGUGCCUUUAGCCGAACUAACCCACUUCCGGGUUCACAGAGCUUCGCCCCGCCCCUUUUUCUGACGCGGUCUUUCCACGCUACAUAGGAAGACCGCGCCAGAUUCAAAGGGCUGGAUUAUUGUACAGGUGUCAAGGCUCAAUUCUGUUUCCUUCAAUCAAGUUACUCUCAGUUACUAAUAAGAAACUGCUUCUAAGGCUCAAUUCUGUUUCCUUCAAUCAAGUUACUCUCAGUUACUAAUAAGAACUGUUUCUAAGGCUAAAUACUACUUCCUUCAAUCAAUUUAUUCCUAGUUGCAAACUCUGUCUUGCCUCAUUGAUAAAUUUGCUUGUAGUUAUUAUACUACAUUUAAUUCAACCUAACUCUGCAUGCAUUCUCUGCACUAUUCUUAAUUGGGACUGUUUGGCUCUGUGCAAAUCUUCAGUGGCUUAUUUUUUCCCUGCAAUUAACAACCUGCUUGAGGGUUUAAAGCUACAGUAUUCUCUCCUCCACAUCAGGAACAAAAAUAGGUAAAACUAUCAAUUUCUGUAAUUAAAAACUCUGCAGUUGCGUUCCAAAUAAGUUAGUAUUACACUGUGCAUAACACUCAGAACGACAGGCGGAUGCGUAUUACGGAUGUUAACCUGUGGCUUGGUGAAUGGUGUCGGGAGCAAGGAUUUGGCUUCAUUUCUCAUGGUAGCUCUGUUUGGAAUGGAAAUAAACUGUACAAAAAAAGAUGGUUUGCACCUUUCUCAAAAGGGAACAAAUGUUCUCAGUGAACAGUUCAGAGAUUUUGUUAGGAUGUAUUUUAACUAGGGGGGGCAAAGGGGUGAUAAAACAUCAAUCCAAUUGCCCCCCAAAACAAGGACAGUGUGCUAAAAAUUAUAAGCUUAGAGAAUUAGGGAAUAAGAUCCAUGAACUUGUGGCAAUAAUGGCAACUCAUAAUGUAGAUUAAGUCGCUGUUACUGAGACAUGGUGUAAUGAGAAAAAUGACUGGGACAUAGCAAUACCGGGUUACUCUUUAUAUAGAAAAGACAGAGAGGCACGAAAUGGGGAGGGUGACCCUGUAUAUGAAGGAUAGCAUAAAACCUAGCAUAAUAAAAGUUAGUGAGGCGAAGAUAGAGUCCGUUUAGGUUACAUUAGAAUUUGGUAAUCACACAGUAACUCGUGUAGGUGUGAUUUAUAGGCCCCCAGAACAAACAGAAGAGUUAGAUAAUCUACUAGUUGAGGAAAUACCUAAAAUGACAAUGAAGGGGGGAGUUACCAUCAUGGGUGACUUUAAUCUUCCUGAUUUGAAUUGGAAAACCAAAAUAGCUGCUUGUGCCAGGAGCACACAUAUUCUAAACUCCCUAUUGGUAUAGUCUCUAAAACAAGUUGUUGAGGAGCCAACUCAUAAAGAGGCCAUACUAGAUUUGGAAUUAGUAUGGUAUCAGAUAUUACUGUAGGUGAACGUUUGUGUGGUUUAAUAUAAGAAUAGUGAAUGAGUCACACCACACAAAAACAAAAGUUUUAGACUUUAGAAAAACAGACUUUUCUAAAAUUAGAAUAUGUGUAAAGGAGUCAUUACCAAACUGUAGCAAUUUAAAUGGAGUACAAGAGAAAUGGGAUUAUUUAAAAGUUGAACUGCUGAAGGCAACAGAAAAUGGAUUAGGCUUGUCAGUAAAAGAAGAAAAUUCAAGAAACCACUGUGGUACUCCAUAGAUGUGGCCAAAAUAGUAAAAAACUAAAAGUUAGCAUUUAUAGUAAUUAUAAAAAAAGAGUGAGGAAGACAGAAUGAUCUAUAAGAUUAGGCAGAAAGAGGCUAAGCAAGUUAUAAGCUUCCAAAUCACACACAGAAGAGAGAAUAGUACAGAGAGCACAGUAUGUAAAAAAAAGGGGAUAAAACAUUUUUUAGAUACAUAAAUGAGAAAAGGAAAGUAAAGCAAGGAUUAGUUAGAUUAAAAACAUAAGAAGGAAGGUAUGUAGAAGAGGAUAAAGGUCUAGCUGACUGCCUCAAUUAAUAUUUUUGUUCAGUAUUUACAGAUGAAAAUGAAGGAAAGAGGCCUCAGUUAGCAAAAAGGACAAAUGAGUCAUUUGUUACAUGCGAGUUUACAGAGGAAGAGGUUCUAUUUCAACUGUCAAAAGUAAAGACAGAUAAGUCAAUGGGACCUGAUGGAAUACACACAAAGUUAUUAAAAUAGCUAAGUGGUGUACUAGCAAAACCAUUAACAGAUUUAUUUAACCAAUCAUUGUUAACAUGAGUAGUCCUAGAAGAUUUUAAGUUAGCGAAUGUUGUGCCCAUUCACAAGAAAGGUAGUAGGGAGGAGUCGGGCAACUAUAGGCCAGUAAGCCUUACUUCAGUAGUGGGGAAAGUAAUGGAAACUAUGUUAAAGGAUAGGAUUGUUGAAGAUCUAAAAUUACAUGGAUUUCAAGGUUGAGAGACAACAUGGGUUUACUUCAGGGAGAUCAUGCCAAACUAAUCUUAUUGAUUUUUUUGAUUGGGUAACUAAAAUUAUAGAUCAGGGUGGUGCAGUAGACAUUGCUUACCUAGAUUUCAGUAAGGCUUUUGACACUGUUGCACAUAGAAGGCUUAUCAAUAAACUGCAAUCUUUAAGUUUGGAUUCCAAUAUUGUUGAAUGGGUAAGGCAGUGGCUGAGUGACAGGCAAAAGAGGGUUGUAGUCAAUGGAGUAUAUUCGAAGCUUGGGCUUGUCACCAGUGGGGUACCUCAGGGAUCUGUACUUGGACCCAUUCUCUUUAAUAUUUUUAUUAGUGAUAUUGCAGAAGGUCUUGAUGGUAAGGUAUGUCUUUUUGCUGAUGAUACUAAGAUAUGUAAUAGGGUUGAUGUUCCAGGAGGGAUAAGCCAAAUGGCAAAUGAUUUAGGUAAACUAGAAAAAUUGUCAGAAUUGUGGCAACUGACAUUUAAUGUUGAUACAUGCAAGAUAAUGCAUCUUGGAAGUAAAAACCCAAGGGUAGAGUACAGAAUAUUUGAUAGAGUCCUAACCUCAACAUCUGAGGAAAGGGAGUUAGGGGUAAUUAUUUCAGAUGACUUAAAAGUAGGCAGACAAUGUAAUAGAGCAGCAGGGUAAGCUUGCAGAAUGCUUGGUUGUAUAGGGAGAGGUAUUAGCAGUAGAAAGAGGGAAGUGCUCAUGCCAUUGUAUAGAACACUGGUGAGACCUCACUUGGAGUAUUGUACACAGUACUGGAGACCGUAUCUCCAGAAGGAUAUUGAUACUUUAGAGAGAGUUCAGAGAAGGACUACUAAACUACUUCAUGGAUUGCAGGAUAAAACUUACAAGAAAAGGUUAAAGGAUCUCAACACGUAUAGCUUGGAGGAAAGACAGGGGUGAUAUGAUAGAAACAUUUAAAUGCAUAAAGGAAAUCAACACAGUAAAGGAGGAGACUAUAUUUAAAAGAAGAAAAACUACCACAACAAGAGGACAUAGUCUUAAAUUAGAGGGGCAAAGGUUUAAAAAUAAUAUCAGGAAGUAUUACUUUACUGAGAGGGUAGUGGAUGCAUGGAAUAGCCUUCCAGCUGACGUGGUAGAGUUUAACACAGUGAGGGAGUUUAAGCAUGCGUGGGAUAGGCAUAAGGCUAUCCUAACUAUAAGAUAAGGCCAGGUACUAAUGCAAGUAUCUAGAAAAUUGGGCAGACUAGAUGGGCCGAUUGGUUCUUAUCUGCUGUCACAUUCUAUGUUUCUGUGUUUCUAUGUUACUGUGAAGUAGUUAUUUGGUUUUAUCAUUAAUGACCCAGUUUUGUAUUUGACUUUUCUGAUUUCCUGGUUCCAUGACUUCAGCUUGUUUUUUCGUUCUUGUCCUUGGCUUUCUAUUUUGACUCUGAAAUUUAGCCUAUGUAGGUCACACGUUAACCCAGCCAUUAAAUAAAGUAAUUUAUUUAAUAUAGAAUAUUAAAACCAAUAAGUUACUAUUUAAAUUACUUUAUAUAAUUUAUCCUUUUUACUAUUUUAUCUUCAUUUAUCGUUCCUGGCAUAUCCUAAGGUGGGGAUUAUACCACCCACGCGAAUAAUAGAGUGCAGAAAGGACUGCACUCUACUUGUGAGUAUAUUUUAUUUAUUUUUAACUCUUUUGCCAACUACCUCAUCAGAGAGCACUAUUUGCUGUUUUUUUCUUUUCCUGAGAAUUGGACACCAGCACUCUACAGGAGGACAAGCACCCCCAUAAGCGGAGGGUUAUCCGCUGUAUGCCCAUCAUACUAGAGCUAGUCCUAGCUCAUGGAAAUGUGAGUGCACAAUUUAUAUUUUAACUUCACUAUCACUUAUUUAUACAAUCUGCACGACUGGUUCUUUCCCAUUGUGUCUUUCAUAUCGUGAGACGGACGACUAUUAACAAAGAAGACACCAUACCAGUUCGGACAACAUUUAAUACUGGGACUUUUUUAUAUUAUUCUCAACAAUUUUAUACUGGGACUCUUUUAUAUUACACUCAACAAUUUUAUCUGUCAAAUAUUUUGGCGCAGCCUUUUCUUUGUUUUUUUGUAUACUUUUACUGUAGAGGGUUAGAGGGUGACCCCCUAUUAGGCUGCUGCCUUCUUAUUCAUUUUUUAUUCCUUUUAUUAUUAGCGCUAACCUUUUUUUAACCUUUUCCUGUAUCCACCUUACACAAUGGGUUAAUGUAAUUAUCACAGGCAGAGAAAUACAGUUUUUCCACAUUAUUGAUAACUUUAAAAGUAUAUAUCACAUUCACAUUUUCAGAAUCAGCAUACUCCAAAUACAAACAUAUGUCAAAAUCAUCCAAAUUGGUCCAUUGGUUCAAAAGAUAGAUCGAAGUCCUUUGUGACCAAAUGAAGCAUGGCUUUUCUGCCCAAAACCAGUUCCACAGAGUCUUCUAUCCUGGAGAUAAUUGGGAAGUAAUCCAAUUAUCUCCAAGGACAGAGGCAAAACUCCAUUGAACACAUGGUAGCAAAAGACAAUAAAAUACAUAAAAAUAUAUAACUGUGCAGCUAUUGCAUAAAACAGGUACAUUCAACAUAUCCCCAGAUAGCUCAGAUCUGAGCGCACAUUAUUACUAAAUGGCGCUCAGAUCUCAUACAUACAGUUCAAUUGCCAUGGAGCCAAACUCUUUCACGUAGUGUUUCGUUUUACGAAUGGGCUCCAUGGCAUAGCUAUCUGGGGUAUCACUAUUCAAAUAGGGAAAGUACCGAAUGACCCAGCUUUUGUGUCUUUGCAGGGGAAAAUCAAGCGUUUCAACAUGGGGCCAUAGUUUAAAGGCAGCAGACAGGCAACCAGGCUCCUCCAAUGCACAGUGGCGAGAUUGGUCUCGUCACAACCCGCAAAAGCAUUGCUGCGGGUUGCCAUGGCAAUGCUCCAGCAUGCAUUGAACUUAGGUAAACGAGCACCUAAUCUACUGUUUUCUAAAUCUUCCAGCCAGUUUGUUAUAGCACACAACAUUCACAAACACUCAUGGAUCAUAUUUAAUUCAUAUAGAGAGUUGGAAAUUUAUGUUCCAAAAAAUGGUUUAACCCCUUAAGGACACAUGACAUGUGUGACAUGUCAUGAUUCCCUUUUAUUCCAGACGUUUGGUCCUUAAGGGGUUAAAGUUCUAAAAGUGUGGCAGUCACCAUGGAAACCAGUGGAAUUUCCAUUGAUGAAUUCUCCUAUUGUAUAUCUUUGUGUCACUUUUUUAAAAUAGAAUAUUUUCUGUUCUUGCAUUUGACCUCAUCCACCACAUUGUCUGCAUCAAUGUCAACGUGUGGGACCUUAAGAGAAAAAUGUUUAACAGGCUAAGCAAAAAAAAGUAUCCAAAAACUAAGAAAGAGAUGUAAUUUAUUUAAUAAUCACUCAGGAAAAAAAAAAUAAUAACAGUUAAAUAUUCGUUGAUAUGGAAACUACUGCAAAAUUCUUCCUGAUUGCUAAGCUUUUAGAAGUUUUUGCAGAAUUGCUUCCAAUAUUUAUGUGAACAGGUUUGCUUCUUUUUUUGUUGUUACGUGUGGUCUUAAACAGCCGUUCUUUAUUCUACAGAAAUAUCCAACAUCUCCCUUUUCAAAAGUGGUAAUCUUUAUAUGUUAAAUCUUCAGGAGAUGUGGAUACUUUACUAAUAAAUUGAACCUGUCAUACACACUUCAGCAAAAUUAACUAUUUAUUAAACAAAAGGCAGCAGUCAUUGAACAUGCUGUUUGUAUACGGUCUGCAGGAAAUCUACCAAAGCUAUCAGCUUUUUUUUUAUUUCAUCCUGGCCUCUGCACCAUUGAUUUAAACACCAGAAAGGGCAAAAUCCAUUGAAUAGAAUGAAGAAAGCAGUGAGCAAACCUCACAAUAGUCCCUGCGUGUUAUGUUUGGUGCUACAUUGUAAUUGAUUGGAAGUGCAUGAUGCAGGUGAGGACAGCCAGGACUUUGUCACUCUCUAUUACAAACUUUACUUAUUUUUUUCUGUAGCAUGGCCAGACAGCAUCCAAAAGAGAUUCCUAAGAGAAAGCAUGCUUUCUCAGGUCUCUGCACUUUCUGUGCCAGUUACCAUAUGGGGACAUACACUGAUCAGCCACAACAUUAAAACCACUGACAGAUAAGGUGAAUGACUGAAUACAUUUUCACAAUUGCACCUGUCAAGGGGUGGGAUAUGUUUCAUGUGUUGGAAGCAGGAAAAAUAAGCAAGCAAAAAGAUCUGAGUGACUUUCACAAGGGCCAAAUAGUGAUGGCUAGACAACUGAGUCUGAUCAUUUCCAAAACAACAUGGCUUGUGUGGUGUUCCUGGUAUGCAGAGGUUAGUACCAACCAAAACUAGAUCAAAGAUGGAUAACUGGUGAACCGGCAUCAGGGUAAUGGGCGACCAAGGCUCAGUGAUGCAUGUAGGGAGCAAAGACUAGCCCAUCAGGUCCGAUAACACAAAAGAGCUACUGUAGCUCAGAGUGCCCAUGAUGAUCCCUGUCCACAGCCACACGCACCUUCAAUAGGGAAGUGAGCAUUAGAACUAGACAAUAAAGCAAUAGAAAAAGGUUGCCUGGUCUGAUGAAUAUUGUUUUCUUUUAGAUCAGAUGGAUGGCCAAGUGCAUCGUUUACCUGGGGAAAAGAUGGCUGCAGGAUGCACUAAGGGAAGAAGGCAGUGUUCAAGAAUGGUUUGGAAAACAAGUGUUAAGUUCAAGGUGUAGCCUUGACCUCCAAGUUCCCCAGAUCUUGAGCAUCUGUGGGACGUGCUGGAACAACAAAUCCAAUCUAUGUGGUCAACACCUUGCACCUUGAAUAUAAGGGAGAGACAUUGCUAUUUAUACACAAGUGGGGCACAUUGAGAUAGUAAUUUUGGGUUGGGUUUUGAUAAGUGGCAUUGACCCAGGCAGCACACUUUAACUCAGGCUAGCCCUUACUAGCAUUACAAUAUCCCUGUCAUCCAACUGAGUGUCAUUAUUGGUUAGAGGGUUUGUAUUAUUAAUUUUAUAAAUAUAAAUUAUGUAUAAUUUUUGGUAUACAUGUUCUCUUGAUCAAUAAAAGUUUAUUUUUUUUCUCUCUGUAAGGUAAAAUAAUGAUUCAAUUUGAUAUAUUUGGGCUAAGCAUGGGUUUGGAUAAAUUAUGCAGAAACUCAAUCAUGACAUUUAUAUCUGUACUAAAGUUUUCCAAUUGACUUAUGCAUGAAUUAUCCCAGCUGCUGAAGCAUUGUUUAUUUAUUUAUUUUUUUCGCUGUUUUUCACACAGACAAUAUAAACCUUAAUUGUAGCAAACAAUAGAAUCCCAUAGAAUUCUGAGCAUUUGGAUUUAUUACUUUUUUUUUUUUGGCACAGGGAGAGAUUUAUCUUCUUAUUCUGUGAUGCACUGACUUGAUUUUAAACAAACAGCUUCAUUAACUAUAUUAAUUGCUAUCUUUCAAAAUACUGUGUAUUCAUUUUAUGAAUAGUACAAUGGGAAUGCUGUGAUUUCCAGAACAUUAUGGCACUAUUAAUGUUGAAUACAUUAUAAAAUCUGCUGUAAAAUAACAAUUGAGGUCCAGAUUUAUGUGGAACAGAAUAUAAUGUUUAUUGUUAAUCAAUGCUUUUAAAUAUUUCCUUACAAUACCCGGGACCUUUCUGUAUUUAUUUUCCUAGAAAUGUUCUCACUACCUUCCUCUAUAGAAAUAAAUGAGUCCUGGGACAGAUCAUAGGUGGAACUUUCCACACAAUUGGCUCAAGCACAUUUAAAGUAGGGAGGGCUUUGAAAUAAAGACAUUGAUAAGGAAGAUUAAAUCCUUAAGGACCAAACUUCUGGAAUAAAAGGGAAUCAUGACAUGUCACACAUGUCAUGUGUCCUUAAGGGGUUAAGAAUCGUGUGUUGUGUCAUAAUGAACAGCGAGCCGGAUAAAGUAUGGAACAUCCUUCAGAAUUAUGUGAAUUUCUUUUUUACAUUGACCUAACAUGGAUCUAAUUUUAUCUUUAUAGAUAUAAUAACAACACUGAAUGUUCUUGCAUCUUGUUUUUAUUAUUUUUGUUAAACACUUUAAUCCUGCAUUCACUGCGGGUUUUGAUGUAAGUAUGUAACUCUUAGAUUUAGCGGUUAGUGACAACUCUUCAACAGGCAUGAUCUAAAUGUUCAGUCCGACAUAUUGGCUUGGGGUGUUUUUGUCAUCUUAUAGAACAGCUACAUGUAGUUGACAUUUCUGGCCUAUUCCUUUUUACAGGACUCCUACAUAUAAUUGCAUGAACUAUGCACUUCAAGUCAUUCCACAACAGUUCAGUUGGCUGGAAGUCGAUAUCAUGCUAUUCCAACACAUAAAAUAAAAACAUCACCUGGUAUUCCAUCUGCCCAGGGUAGGUAACGACAGAACAGAAUCUUGCAAUGCAUCCACACAAAAUAACCACAUUACAGACUUAUCCUUGGACCUUAUUCACAAAGGUCAGAACAUUACCAUGUAUAUAUUACUGUUUAAUGUUACUUAAAUAUUUUAAUUAUGUGUACAUAUACACGUAACUCUUCAUUUUUACAUCUAUAGAGAAUAGAUUGUAUCUAUGAGGGAAAAGGUAGCUGGACCAGUUGCUAAAUGGUAUGUUUAUCUGCUUUGAGAAGGGGGCUCUUUGUACAGGAUUAGAGGCUGUACAGCUGGAGAAGGCUGAAACCCAUGAUUUGUGGGACAGGAUUGUGCCCAGUUUCAAAGGUUCUGGAAUUACUACAAAAUAUCCACAUAUCCAACUCACAUCAAAAUAUACCUAAAGUAGAUUUCACGACAAUAAUAUUACAAGGAUUUAAUAUUAUUUUAGACCCGUCAUUUCCACGCUAACAUCAUUGCAUACAACAAAUUGGCUACAUGAAAACAAGUGGAGCUGUAAACUAUACUGGUGUUUUUGGGCAAUUAUAUAACUAGAAAGUGAACAUGAUUCUCACCAACUUGCUAUUCUACAUGUAAUUAAUUUACAGUAUCCCUUAAAUUCAGAGUUUAAGACUAAGUCUACAAUAAUAACAUAGAAGGAGAAAUACAUUUUUCUAUUUCAUAACCUAAUUUUGAAAUAAAUUGUUGUGAAUUUUCUACAGUGGAGGAACUAAUGUAAAGAGGGCCCUGUUGCAAGAAAACAUUUUGGUCCCCUCUAGUGCAAGUGUGGCCUAAAGGUAGAUUUCCAUCUGUCAUACUGUGUUGCCUGCAGUGUUCUCUGUCAUCCCUCUCUGUGCCUCCUCCAUCUUCCCAGCCUGCACAGUCUGUUAGCUGGAAGGAAGUGACAAGAAAUCUUGUCUUUAAUAAUUAAUAAUAAUUAAUUAAUUAAUAAUAAUGUCUUUAAUGACAUUAAAGAGGCCAGGUCAUGCUGCUAAAAGGCUGCAGUACCCAAUCAUGUCAAUUAUCACACCUGCCUGCCUGCCUAUCGGGUGUGCCCUAAGUGGAUGGGCUACCCAAUGGGGCCCCAAUGACUGCGGGCCUUGCCGCAGUACCACAGGCUGCACCAGUGGUAGUGCCGCCACUGAUUUUCUAGCACUUUGCUUAUAGAAUGGUAUGGUCUAAAAUGCAACUUUUAAAAAUACAGCCAAAAUAAUGACUAAUAAAAAAGUAUGUGAUGUUUUAUAUGCUACUUGAGGUUCCAUUUAUAGAUACAAUGUGUCUAUAAAAAGAAUGUUUGUACAUGAGCAUAAUGUCCACAUACAGUGAGUACAGCUAUAUCAAAUAUCUGUACUAUAUAGGGCUUUGCAUGCUGUUAUAUAUUUGUCAAUAUUGAAGGUAUGAAGCCAGGAGCAUGUCAUCCUUAGAAGCAUACACUCCACGAUAGUAAAUAACCCUUCAGGGCAGCCAACAAUACUUUUGACUUUUCUUUCUACUUUUUCUUUACAGCAUACAUAAUUUUUAUAUGUAAACAAAUACAUUUCUUCUCAGAACAAACAGCUGUAGGUGUUGCUGCUGCAGCUAAUUCUAUUCUCCUUGUGCCCUUGUGCUCUGGUUGCAUUGUUGGCAAAAGGGAUCAUUUUCGUUUGCUGCCAAAUCACAUUAUUACUAUGAACAACAAUCAUCUAUUUGCAAGGUCAGAUAAACGUUUAUAAAUGUUUAUAUUAAAUGCAUUUAUAUACAGUUGCAAGAAAAAGUAUGUGAACCCUUUGGAAUGAUUUGGAUUUCUGCACAAAUUGGUCAUAAAAUGUGAUCUGAUCAUCUGCUUAAACUAAUAACACACAAAGAAUGAAAUGUUGCCAUAUUUUUAUUGAACACACCAUGUAAACAUUCACAGUGCAGGUGGGAAAAGUAUGUGAACCCCUAGACUAAUGACAUCUCCAAGAGCUAAUUGGAGUGAGAUGUCAGCCAACUGGAGUCCAAUCUAUGAGAUGAGAUUGGAGGUGUUGGUUACAGCUGCCCUAUACAAAACACACACCAGUUCUGGGUUUGCUUUUCACAAGAAGCAUUGCCUGAUGUGAAUGAUGCCUCGCACAAAAGAGCUCUCAGAAGACCUACGAUUAAGAAUUGCUGACUUGCAUAAAGCUGGAAAGGGUUAUAAAAGUAUCUCCAAAAGCCUUGCUGUUCAACAGUCCACGGUAAGACAAAUUGUCUAUAAAUGGAGAAAGUUCAGCACUGCUGCUACUCUCCCUAGGAGUGGCCGUCCUGUAAAGAUGACUGCAAGAGCACAGUGCAGACUGCUCAGUGAGGUGAAGAAGAAUCCUAGAGUGUCAGCUAAAGACUUACAAAAGUCACUGGCAAAUGCUAACAUCCCUGUUAGCGAAUCUACAAUACGUAAAACACUAAACAAGAAUGCAUUUCAUGGGAGGAUACCACAGAGGAAGCCACUGCUGUCCAAACAAAACAUUGCUGCACGCUUACAGUUUGCACAAGAGCACCUGGAUGUUCCACAGCAGUACUGGCAAAAUAUUCUGUGGACAGAUGAAACCAAAGUUGAGUUGUUUGGAAGAAACACACAACACUAUGUGUGGUGAAAAAAAGGCACAGCACACCAACAUCAAAACCUCAUCUCAACUGUGGCCAGGGCCUGGACGGAUUGCUAUCAUCGAAGGAAAAAUGAAUUCCCAAGUUUAUCAAGACAUUUGGCAGGAGAACUUAAGGCUAUCUGUCUACGAGCUGAAGCUCAACAGAAGAUGGGUGUUGCAACAGGACAAUGACCCAAAGCAUAGAAGUAAAUCAACAACAGAAUGGCUUAAACAGAAGAAAAUACACCUUCUGAAGUUGCCCAGUCAGAGUCCUGCACUGUGAAUGUUUACAUGGUGUGUUCAAUAACAACGUGGCAACAUUUCAUUCUUUGUGUGUUAUUAGUUUAAGCAGACUGUGAUUGUCUAUUGUUGUGACUUAGAUGAUGAUCAGAUCACAUUUUAUGACCAAUUUGUGCAGAAAUCCAUAUCAACCCAAAGGGUUCACAUACUUUUUCUUGCAACUGUAGGUAGGUACAUGAACACAGCUUUCUUAUCGGGUAUGCUAAACAGUCUCAAAUGCAGAGCAAUAUUAUGUUUUAAAGCAACUACCAGUUUCCAAAGCUUAGAAAGCUUUUUCCGUUCCCAAUUCUCAACCAGUUAGCAACUAUCUAAUACAUAUUACCGCAAUGCCAUUAAAAUAUUUGACUAUUUUCGUAGUGUUCAAGUAGCUUUUUAGUGCAAAUACAACUUUAGUGGAAAUAUGUGGUUUUUUUGCAUUUUCAACAAAUAUUUCUAUAUUUCUUAUAUUAUUCACAAAAUAUGAGUUGACUACAGAAUCAUGUUCAAACGUGUUAACAGCAAAUAAUUUAGCAGGUUUUGAAAACACCCAAUAUGUUACUGGUGAUUUAGUGCAAUUACUUGACCAGAAAGGGAAGACAAUUCUCACAAACUUGUUAGACAAUAUGUAGUUGAGUUACAGUAUUCCUUAUCAACAAUACAAGUUUGGCUUAAUGAAGCAGUUUUAGUGUAUAGAUCAUGCCCCUGCAGUCUCACUGCUCAAUUCUCUGCCACUUAGGAGUUAAAUCACUUUGUUUAUGCAGCCUUUGUCACACCUCCCUGAAAGUAGCGUGCACAGCCUUCCUAAACACUUCCUGUAAUGUUAGUUCUAAUGUUUACACUUGCUUUAUUGCAAAUGCUGUUUAAUUUCAAAUUUCUUAUCACCUGCACUGUUAAUGGCUUGCUAAACCUUGCAGGAGCCUCCUUAUGUGGUUAAAGUUCAAUUUACAGAGAUAACGUUUUUAAAGUAAGCUAAAGAGUCACUCCCAACUCAUAAACAAAUUUAGCUGGCUGAAAAGAUUUAUGUGUGAAGAGUGUGUCCUCUUUUUUUUCGCUUUUUUGGACACUUUUAUAAAUUAACCAUAUAGACUUAACUCUUCAUUUUUACAUCUAUAGAAUAGAUUGUAUCUAUGAGGGACAAGGUAGCUGGACCAGUUGCUACAUGGUAUGUUUAUCUGCUUUGAGAAGGGGGCUCUUUGUAAAAAGUUUCCAGUGCCAGGAUUAGAGGCUGUACAGCUGGAGAAGGCUGAAACCCAUGAUUUGUGGACAAAGUAGACAACGGGUAAUGUUACUUCACGGUUUCGUUAGCACAAUGUAGCUGAUCUCAAGAUGCAGCAAUAGCUCAGAGAACUUGACUUACAAAGACUUUUCAUUCAACUGUAUUGGGAAGUCUGCGAUUGGACAGCCACAGAAAGUCUGGGCGGAGUUAGAAGGGGAGAGCUUGCAAAGACAGCAGACAAGAGAACUGCAGGUUUUGCAAGCUGAUUUUAGAUAUAUUCAUAAUGAAAAAGAAACAUAAUUAAAUGCAUGCAUAUUUUCAUUUGGGGUAUAUCUACUAAAUAUUCAUUUUUAUUUAUUUUGUAUUUGGGCAGUGGAGUGUCACUUUAACAUUUGAUUGGAAAAGAAAAAUUAAUGUAGGCUAUGUGAGUCACAGCAAGGGGAGGUGCAAGGGCAGAAUCCUAAGUAAUUUCGUUCCUAAAUGGCAGAGAAUUGAGCAGUGAGACUUCAGAGGCAUGAUCUACACAAGAAAACUGCUACAUUAAGCUGUUUUAGUGACAAUAGUGUCCCUUUAACUUCCAUAUUUCAAACUUGAUAUACAAUAUUAGCAGUGAAGCAGAAAUGCAUUUUUAUUAUACCAUCAUGUUCACAAAAAAUAGUUAGGAAUCGUCUAAUACAUUGCUUACAGAUGUAGUUUAAAUGUGGUCUUUCUGUGUUUGUUGGAUAUGUGUAAUGCCAUAUUUCAAUUUUAAUUGUUCAUAUUUUGUAUGUAACAUAUAAAUCACUGUGACGAAGUGCCCUUCGCCACUUCUACCUGGAGAGGACUAAUGGCUAGCCUCUUGCCUCGUGACUAUGGCCCCUCUCAUCAGCCCAUGCUGUAACUUUAACCCCAUGGCGAUUUGACUGUGGUUGUGGGAUCUGAGCACUGUUUGGAUAUAUUGAGCACUCAGAUCCAAGCUAUCUGGGGAUAUGUUGCAUGUAUAUGUUUUAUGUAGUAAUUGUAACAUUGUGUAAUUUUAUGUCUUUUUGUAACCAUGUGGUUAAUUGAGUCUUGCCUCUGUCCUGGGAGAUAAUUUGAUUACUUCCCAAUUAUCUCCAGGAUAGAGAGGAGGGAUUGUGAUGUCAAGUGGGAGUAUUUUGUUUGUAUUGUCUGUAAUUGGUUUAUAUCCAAUAUGUGUCCCAUUGUUCCAUUAGGUCCCCUGGACACUUGCAUAAAUACCAGACAGGUAGCCCUCAAUAAACCAGACCUACUUGCACCUUUCUUGAAGCCUUGGCUCAUGCUUGGGGGAAGGGAUACCUACACUCUGGGGAUACCUAUAAUCACUUACUCUCUUGUAAGAUCUUGAUUUGUUCCUGCUACGUUGGCGGAGGUACUCGGCAGGUGGAGAUUGGACCGAGGUCUCUCUACCGUCCCUACAGGGAUGCUGGGCACCCGGCCCAGAUCCCCAGCGGCAGUGCAUCUCACAGGGAGAGGAGACAACCGGUCUCUCUCCCCAGCGGCGGCCUGAGUUCCAGGAAGAGGAGAUGGUCGAUCCCUCCACCGUACAGCAACCAGCAUCCUGGGGAGUGGAGGCAACCAGCCUCCGUCUCCAACAGCAGCCAGAGAUACCUGGAGUAGGGACAGUAGGUCCUACUCCUCAGUGGCAGUAUACUUUGCAGGGAGAGGAGACAACCGGUCUCUCUUCCCAGCGGCGGGCUGAGUUCCAGGAGGAGGUGAUGGUCGAUCCCUCCACCAUACAGCAACCAGCUUUACAGAAGAGGAGAACUAGAGGAAAUCUGGGGGCAACCGGCCUCCCUCUCCCACCCCAGCCGGGAGUGGGGGAAAACCACCCUAACCCCACUGGCACAGAUGGGACCACGGUCUCUGUGCCAGUCCUACUAGGAUGCUGGAUGGGCGGUCCAGAUCCCCAGCUAUCCCCGAAGGGAUACCAGGAGGAGGAGGUAAGUGAGCCCUCCCCUCUCCAGCUACAUCCCGACUAGAUCCUGGGGGCAGUGGAUGAGCCUGCGAUACUCACUGACCCCCUCCCAGCAGAAGAGCUGGCAUCUGGGCACAGCGCUGUUAACCUCUGCCCUCCCGUUGCCCCUGGUCCAGAGCCUCACUUACUGCAGGCUACCCUAGCAGAAGAGCUGGCAGGAGGGCAGAGCGCUGCUGGCCUCUGUCCCCCAAGCAACACCAGCAGUUUGCCUAGCUGCACCAGACCGAGGGCGCUGCACUGUCCCACUGCAGCCUGGAACCCACGGAGCAGUGCCAUUUGUUGUGGGGGGGCUACUCUGUGAAUUUUUCUUUGUGGGUGGGCUGCCCGACAAACUUAGGUACUGACCGGCAGAAGGUCAGGUACCUGUUUAGUCUUCCCCCCAAUGAGAAGAUGUUUGACGAAGUGCUCUUCGCCACUUCUACCUGGAGAGGACUAAUGGCUAGCCUCUUGCCUUAUGACCAUGGCCCCUCUCAUCAGCCCAUACUGUAACUUUAACCCCAUGGCGAUUUGACUGUGGUUGUGGGAUCUGAGCGCUGUUCGGAUAUAUUGAGCGCUCAGAUCCAAGCUAUCUGGGGAUAUGUUGCAUGUAUAUGUUUUAUGUAGUAAUUUUAACAUUGUGUAAUUUUAUGUCUUUUUGUAACCAUGUGGUUAAUUGAGUCUUGCCUCUGUCCUGGGAGAUAAUUUGAUUACUUCCCAAUUAUCUCCAGGAUAGAGAGGAGGGAUUGUGAUGUCACUGUGGGAGUGUUUUGUUUGUAUUGUCUGUGAUUGGCUAAUAUCCAAUAUGUGUCCCAUUGUUCCAUCAGGUCCCCUAGGGGAGUGUCCACCUGGUGGACACUUGCAUAAAUACCGGGCAGGUAGCCCUCAAUAAACCAGACCUACUUGCACCUUUCUUGAAGCCUUGGCUCAUGCUUGGGGGAAGGGAUACCUACACUCUGGGGAUUGCUAUAAUCACUUACUCCCCAGAGUAAGCUCUUGUAAGAGCUUGAUUUGUUCCUGCUAUGCUCUCUGGAUUUAGGAGAGGUUCACCCACUGGGAGCUGGAUCCUGGUCGUGGAUCCAGGGUGGGUGAGAGACGGCGAGACCCUGGCGCAGCUGCAUCGCUGGAAGUGGGUUGCGCAGUGCUGAUGGUGUCGGUUGGAGUGCUCGGAGUCCUCGGCAAGCUCUAGGAGCAUCGAUUGGUGGAGGUACUCGGUCGGAGUGCCAGCGGCCCGUCACAAUCCCUUCCACUGUAUUCUAUUCCAUGCUCCACAUAGUGACAGAAGAUGGAAGAGCUAGGUUUGGAUUUCUCAUUAGGCGUAGCAGUACCUAUGUACAGGACCAUGUCCCGUAGGGGCGAAUGUUUUUAGCACUUUGGAGCAUUAGUGGGGUGGUGGGGCAUAUAAGCACCAUGAGCCUUGCCCAGUGCCCUAUAUAGUCCAGUCAGCCCUUUAUGUUCCAGGCUAUUUUCUUUUGAUCUUGUUCACUCUUGUAUACUGAAUGCUGGUGUAUGUUAUCGCAACAUGAUUUUUUAUGACACUGACAGUAUUUUAGUAACAUGCGUGAUGGCUAGUUCCACCAACAUUGUAGGACAGAGUAUAAUUUUGUUUUGUUCUAGUUUUUACAGAUUUUCAAGUUUACUAUUUUUAUGGCUUCCACGUCUUACUAGUCAGCUAGUAAGCUAGUUUCAACGUUUUUUUAGCUUAUCGUUAGUUUAUUUUUGUUUUCAGUUUGUUUUUUUUCACAAGAAAAUCUUUUGUGUACAUUUGUGACAAAUAAUCUUCUGUUACUCAAACUGAGGGCACUGUGAUAUAAUUACUUUAGUACAAUCAAUUUUUCUUUUGUAAAAACACAAAAUGUAAGGGAGCAUUUUUAUCCUGCAUUCUAUAUCUCACAGACAACAAAUAAUGAAACAUUUAUCUUUCAUACUCUUUGCUGUAGCUGUCACUAUGUUUUAAAAAGAUAAUUAGACGGAAAUGCUGUUCUUACAAUUUAAGAAGCAUUUUCAUGUCAAUGUUGCCAAAACUAGAAUUCAGUAGUUAUAUGGAAACUACUAACAAGUGUCUAACAAGUGUCUUCAUUACCACAUAACUGUGAAGAGAGACACAACAAAAACCAUUAAGACAGUAUGUCAAAUGUCAAAAGAAACAGAAGCGACAAGGCAGAAUCUUUGGCUUCAUUUGCUCUGAAAAUCCCUAGGAAAUUACUUGGUUGGUGUCUUCAACUCAGGGUUGGAUUUGGUAAGUCUUCAAAAGUGGAAAUAGGAUUUUUAUUCAAUUAUAUAUAAGACCUUCUAUGAAAUAGGUAGUUCCAGUUAAAUCAUAUAACAAUUUGGAAGUAGCAAUUCUGCUGUUUAGACUUGUGUACAUCAAAAACAUUCAACUCUGCCAAUACAUUAUUUUUCAGGAUGCCCAAAUUUUGUCAAUGUCGGUUCGGCUUGGCAGAAUUUCAGCAUUGAAAAAUGUAUAUAUACAUACAUAUAUCUUUAUACAUUCCGUAUUUUUGAAAUACAUGAAUAUAGAAUUUAUUUCACAUAAACAUCAACAGCUAAGGAAUUAUUUUACAUCAAAAUUACUUGUUUAAAUGUUUUUGGUCAUGCACUGUUUUUAGAACUUUUUGAUUGUGAAUUGUGAUUUUUGUUCCCCCUUCUCACUUGAUCUGUGAAUAAAAUCAACAUUUAGUGACUUUAGUGACAUAGCCAUCAAUCACCUUUCUUCCCAUCAAUUAGCUCUUUUUUUUGUGUUGACACAGGUGGAAUCCAGAAGCCCGAAUCAAAACGAACAUGCGUGGCUAUUGUACGUUUUGGUUGCUACAUGAUUCAGAUACUUUUCAGCUGGGAUUUCAAAACUUUGACAGAUUACCCAAAUGGCCCAAAUUCAGAUGAAUUGCAGUUAAGACUGAAAUUAAUCCCUAAGUCUGCUGUUUAUGCUUUGAAUAGCCCAUAAAAUGUUCACAAUCUUUGUGGAUUGUUGCUUACCGAUACCCCUUUUGCUUCCUUCCAUCUAUAACACUUUCAC
RNAcentral lists this long non-coding RNA (64817 nucleotides) under Pelobates cultripes (western spadefoot toad). The record is from RNAcentral. Lineage: Eukaryota; Metazoa; Chordata; Amphibia; Anura; Pelobatidae.